This 45935-nucleotide long non-coding RNA is filed under the name Brachypodium distachyon (stiff brome). Its description in RNAcentral is "long non-coding RNA (BDIS_LNC003403)". Lineage: Eukaryota; Viridiplantae; Streptophyta; Magnoliopsida; Poales; Poaceae. The record is from RNAcentral.
UUGCAUAUACUUGGUAGGAUUUGUUGUAACUUCCAGGUGAACUUGCCAAUACAUUCAAUGUAUUGACCACGUAGUGGCUGCAAUCAAUAAUGCAGGUGAAUCUGAUGAAGAGUGAGGUUCGCCGAUGUUUUUUGGGUCAUGUGCUUACAUUCCAACAUGCUCUCUCCUCUGGGAGUAGUUGAGUCCCAUUUGCUCUCCCUUUCCGCUGCAAGUUUUUAAACAUUUAUUUUGAUGAGAUGAAAUAGUAUUUGUUUAUGCUGGCCCAAGGGGUUAUGCAAGUUUGUAAGUACAAUUGAGUUCUGGAUGAUACGAUGUAAUAAAGUACUUUUGACCUUUGUAUCUGGGUAUUACAUCUUGAAACUAUGUGUGCUAGUGGGUCGAUCCAGGGACUAGCACAAAUAAGCAAAGAGAUCGAACCCUGUACGGGGGCGGUCGCUUUAGAUGCGGCUACAACAGUCGCCCCGACUACCCCGGCGGCUCCGCCAGUCCCACCCGCGCGGAGUGGCCCCCUGGCGAGGAGCAUCCUAGCGGACAGGGUGCUCAAGCUCAAACCAGCGGGGUCAGCUCAACGUUGUCUAGAACACUUUAGAUUUCAUAAAUUUUUUGCAUGCCUGGCUAACUUGUUUUCGCGUUUUCUAGUUCUUCGAGGAAGAGGGGGCAGACCAGCACGUCGCCGGCAACCCCGACCGAGAUGCCGCUGACGUGGCUGUUGUGACGGCGGCAGCUGCCACUGGGGACUCGAGGGUCACCGAUUCGAGCUCGCAGGGCACCGGCCCGGCGGCAGGUACGUGCGAGUUCCAACAUCUCUUUUACCCAUUCGCGCCAUCUCCCAUACUUGACUCAGGUGCUCUUCGUGCAGUUGCCGGGGAUGUUCCGGCAGCGCCCGCGCCCACCGAGGUGCGGGUAAUCGACCUCACCGGCGAGGUCGACGACGAUGCUCCGGUGGAGAUUGCCUCCGUCAGAGCCCUUUAGCAAUCGGCCACGGCGCCUGCUGCCGCAGGCGACGCCACAUAGGGGGCGCCAUCUGUGGUAGGUGACACGGAGCAGCCUCCGCCAGUCGGAGCAGGCGGUGGUGCUCUGGAGAAGCCCCCGAGCCCCCAGCCCGCCCCUUUGGACGGGCAAGGAGUAGCAGGGGUUGGCCAGGCUAGGGCGCGUCAUCCCAACGCGCCCUCAGGAUCACAGAUGGUUGCGGCGGGGUCCUCCUCCUCCGCCAGAGCCGCCUUCAGCCCGGGAGCGGGGGAGCUCGCCGGGCGGACAUGGGGUCGGAUUACCUUCGACCCUAGCGUGUUCUAGCAGGGACACCAAGUGAUCGAUAACAUCCAGCGGCAGCAGCGGAUGUUCGUUGAUUUCUUCAAUGACGCGCAGCAGCACCACGCCUGCGUGGUAGCGGAACUGGGCGCAGCGCAACGGGAGGCGGAGGAGCAGCACGCCGAGCUGCAGCGGCUCCGGGAGGAGCUCCAGCAGGCGUGGCAAGUCGGGGCGAUGCUUGUUGUGCAGGGGGUGCCGGAGGCGGAAGUCCUCCGGCAGCUGUGGGAUCUCCAUCAAGAGCACCAGUAGGAGCUCGAGCUGGUGAAGGCCACGCAUGUCUAGAGCGAGGAGGAGCACCAGGAGGCUCUGGACUCGUUCCAGGGGUGUCUCCGGGAGAAGACAGACUUACUGUCCAACUACUCCCUGGAGAUCCAGCGCCUCCGUCAUGAGGUCAGAGAGCUGGAGACGGUGGCUACAACACUAGCCGAAGCCAGGCUCGCUCCCGGGAGAGCGAGCUUGUGGGGAAGCUCAAGGCCGCCCAAGAUGCCAGCUCGUCCCUUCAGGGCGAGCUCGACAUGGCGCGGCAGGAACUCCGGCUGGUCGACAACGAUAACACCAAGAGGGCGUCCGAGAUCGGCAAGCUGAAGUCCGAGUGCCGCGAACACAAGCUGCAGGCCCAGGAGGCUCGUGGUGCGUGCACCGAGCGGCGGGCCCGCAGGACAGGGGAGGUGGCCAGGCUGAAGAACCUGGCGGACUCGGCGGUGGAGGCGCUGCAGGGGUUCGACAUCCCGGUGGCUUCCUUCGACGGGGCGAACAUGGGCAGCUUCACCUCCUUCCUUGCGGACUUCGUCGGCCGGCUGAGCGGCCUACAGAACUGUGUUACAGCCUUCGGGGAUCGGCAAGUCGGCCUUGCAGCCGAGCAGGUCACUGGGCAAAUUCUCACCCGAGUCCACUCCGCCCACCCCGACUUCCUCUUCGAGUAAGUCUUCGAUGCCUGGUCAGACGAGGAAGAGGCCAAGACCCACCAGGAAGCAGUGCAGGGCAUUGUGGAUGAGAUGGUGGCGCGGAUGCAGGGCAAGGUUGAUGAAGCCGAAGCAGCUGACGAGGAGGUUGUCGGAGAAGCCCCCGAUGUCGAGGAUGCACCCGACACCGACGCAGCCGCCCCGGGAGCACCUCCUGCAUGAUUGCCUGUUUUUUUUUAAUAUUUUCCUACAAGUGGCGCAUGGCGCCUUCGAACUUUUUAUGUUAGCUUUCCCUUAUCAUCACAAGUGUUAUUUGUUAACUCGUUUGCUCAAGCUUCAAUAUAUCCAAUGCUACUUUUACUUGCUUCUUUGUCUAAGACUAGCUUGCCGGGGAGGGGCUAUGUCCUUCUCGUGCCUUAGCCUUGAGUAUCCGGGGACUCGCCAACUACAUGCUUGGCCAAACUAGGGACCCGGGACGGACCCGCGGUGCCAACCUAGGACCAAACAGCAGCGGCUAGUCACUCCGCCUGCGAGUUACCUACCCCAGCGCGCACGCCUCCGGGGCGGACCCGCGAGCCACGUGUGCGGGGGCGUCCUCACCCCACAAGCGUCCUUCCUACGCUCCAGCAACACGGGGACCGAGUUUACCUCACCAAACCAGCGUUACUAAAGGAAGAGCUAAGAACCCAAAACAAAGUACUUAGCUUUUCGCUCUCUUUGGUCUUCUAGCAUCUUGUUGAGAGCCGUGGCAAGGACGCCGUGGCAGUGCACCCUCCAGCGGCAUGCGCGGAGGCAUGCACCCCCACAGCGUCUUCGCGAUGCCUCUCGCCCACUGCACAACCAUUUCUGGUGUCGUUCCAUAAGAGAUGUGGCAGGGCCGCGAUGGUGGAAACACCCUCAGCGACAAGCGCAGAGCGAUCCACCACCAUCGCCUCUCUACGAAAUCUCUUGCUUUCUUGCCCGUUGCCGGUGUUGCAUUUGCCCCGGUAUCUUUAAAUAGCCGAAGCGCUGCCCUUGCCUCCACACGCGCGGGACCACCAGUCGCCACGUGGAGGCACUGGCCCUUUCUCAGUUUCCUGCCUCAAGCCUCGAAGUAAUUGCCAUAUAUGUACAACUUACUCGCAAGACGACGACACCCGUGACCACCCCACGAGUAUCACAGUGUGCCUUCGCCUCAUCUUUACCAUGCAUGUCAGAUUCCUGUAGUGCCCAGGAUGCAUAGCAAAAAAAUUCGAAAUGCACGAAAAACAGCUCAAACUGGAUAACCUCCUGUCUCCCAGCCACCGAGCACAGAAGAGUCGACCUCAGACUUGGGUGUGAGCAUCUACAUAUUCCCAUGGUGCCUUGCUGGCACGUAGCACAUUGCGGACGGGUCCGGCAACUGCUAGGCCUCAUUCCGGGGCGUCCCGGCAAUGAGCUUGGUUUUCGUGGUUCCGGCAGCCCCCUGCUCACAGCCAAAGACGAGGAGACAAUUAUGUGCACCUAGAGCAGGAGACAAAAGCACUCAUCAAUAGCAAAGGACAACACUUAUUGAAGCAACACUUAUCUUUAUUCAACUUUGUGCUAGCGGAUUACAAUCAGGCCUUGCACGGCUACGCUAGCUUAAAGAGGCACGCUGCUGCAGCGUCACCCAUGGGUAAGGCACCACCGUUUCACGGGUAGAACUUGCGCAGGUGUUCAAUGUUCCAACUAUUGGGCAUCGGCAAGCCUUCUUCGGUCCGGACAGCCCCUCGUAUGGUCACCUGCACUACCCGGAAAGGGCCUUCCCAGAUUGGAGUCAACUUGUUCCCGACCUUCGUUCCUUGUAUCCGGUGCGGGAUGAGGUCUCUGUUGGCCCGAGUCCUGUCUCUCAUGGAGACUCCUCAGUUGAAGGUUACUGGCAUUCACCUCAUCGCCGCCUUUAUCCGGAGAAGAAUUCAGCCUCUGCAGGCUCGUGCUCAUCCCAUGUGGGCAUAUCAGGGGUCCGUGACCCGACCCGAAUUAGUACCUAGGAAUUUUGUUCAACUGAACUGUGUCGACGAGUUUGGCAGCUUACUGACUUGGGCGAGUCGGAGCCCUGCGAGAUUAACCCUCCAGUGGCUCCCUAUGGGCCUGACAGGCCCCGAGAAUAGGUGAUCACCGAAGCAUCUGACAAGUCCUGCCGUUUUUUGGCAUGAAUUACUUCUGAUCAUGGCUUUGAUUUCAGGGACCCGAUAAUGAUCUAAGCGGUGCUUCUCCACCGGCCAAGAAGCGCGGCAGAGAGGAAAAUGACCUGCCGGUACAGACCCAGAUGAAAGGCUUGAGGGACCCGAACAUCGAGCCGUCGGUGUCUGUACCUGCGCUCAAGAGGACAAAGUCCGACGGGCCAAUCCCGGCUUGUCGCUUUGGCCUUUUUGCACGAUUAAAUCGUGCCAGGUGAAUCUUUUAGCCAUCUUACUUCUAUAUCCUAUAGAUUUUGACUAAACCUCUAAAAACUUUGUUGAUGAGCCAUACUGGUGGCUCAGUCAAGAGCAAAAAGGCUCCCGAGACUCAAUCGACUGGUCAGGACUCGAAAGGGUCGGACCAUCUGACUAAAGAAAAGACAACUCAUACCGAAGAAGCUUCGGCGGCCAAUCCGAGCAGAGGAAGUCGAGCAGAUGAGCCGAGCGUUCCUCAGGCGACGAUUCCUGCGUCGAGUCGACACGUGAGCAGUUUGAGGAGACGAAGGCAGAUCGGGAGCGACUACGAGCAGAGCUGAGUCAAUGUCGCCAAGAGCUACAGGACGCAGCCGCCAAAAAGAGUCGUCUUCAGCAACGUAUAGACUCCCGAACUUCCGCAAAGAAAGAGCAGGAGAAGGUUUGGAUCGAGCGACUCAAAAGUGCUACUCGCUCUGUUGCUGGUGAGCGUUUGAAUCUGUUACUCGAGUGCCGUUUCUCUAUCCUUUUGCAGGAGUCCUUGAUGCUUCCGCUGAGGUUCAAUUCAAAGAGAGAAGCCGGAGCUUCAAUGAUGCUUUAGAAAAUGUUGAAGUCAACAAUGCUGAAGCCAAGGGCAAGCUCCGGCAAGUGACGAAGAUUUUGACCACCAUAAUCAGGAAGAUGACUCCUGAUGGGUCAGUGCCGGAGUCGCUGAAUGGCCUUAUUGACUUUUUUGCGGCAAGUCAAGAUCCGGUAGAAGAGUACUGCCAGCAUCGGUCGAAGACCGACGCUGAGUUAUUCUUUACGCUUGCUCUUGAGCAUGGCGUUGAGGAAGACGCUCACCGUCGAGUAGCCUCUCAAUCGAUUCGAUCGAGAGUAGGCGACUCGGUCAACAUAGGGCCCCUAAUGGGAAAGGGCAAAGAGCUGGCUGAGAUCUCGUUGUGGCAGCCACAUAGAUCAAUCGAGGAGAUGAACCUAGCUUCAUCCAGCGGCCCAGAGGUGGGUGAUCUUUCACUAGAUAUAUUUGAUUCUCUUUCUCCUUUGUGAAUCUUCUUCUUCUACUAUUUUACCUUUGUAAAGAACCUCUAGCAGAGCCCUUUUUGGAAAGAAAUGAAAAAAUCUUUAUUUCCAUCCCGAAAGGGGUUCUUCAGGAUAAAUGCUGAGGUAACUUGAGUCUUUUCCGGGUAGAGGGAAAAAGGAUCGUCAAGUCACUCUAUUCCAGCUGCAGCGGCAGCCUCUCGCAACAAUGCUCCAGACAAUCCUAGCGGAAGGGUCAGGCUGGGACUACUCUGUACCCAUAGCAAUUACGAGAAGUUGAGGCUUGGAGUAGCAAAUCUAGCCUGAAAGCUGCGACCAACCGGGAAGAGUUUGUCUUUCGAGAGCUUCGCAGCCUGAGCGGCCAAAACCAAGGUAAGGAUCACAAGAAUUUGCCUUUCGUGUGGGUCUGCAAAGUAAUCUUGUCGUCUUCUGUGCAGCUGUUCGCUUUGACCCUGAAAAUGAAAAGGUCAGAGUGAAUGCUGCCAUUCAAGCUCGCCGUGAUGUUGUUGAUCGAGCGGAUCAAGCAGGUCAAAAGAUACUUCACCUCCUGCCGUGACAUGCUAGCUUCGACUCAUCUGGCCUUAUGGCCGCAGGAGAAGGUGCCUCGUAAACUGGGCAGCCUGCCGUGACAUGCUUUUGGCUGGAUCAGUCAAGGAGCUACGACAUGAUGCUGUUGAUCGAGCGGAUCAAGCAGGUCAAAAGAUACUUCACCUCCUGCCGUGACAUGCUAGCUUCGACUCAUCUGGCCUUAUGGCCGCAGGAGAAGGUGCCUCGUAAACUGGGCAGCCUGAUGGUGAAGUUUCACGGCGAGGAGAAGAUGAAGGAACUGGUUCGACUCCAGCUGGUGAAGGGUGCCCAGAUUGCCCUCGCAUUUGUGCGAGUCAACUGCCCAGAAUUGGAUUUCUGGCGAAUUGCUACACUGCCAGUUACUCUCACCCGGGGUAUAAAGUCAUUCCUGGAGGCUGGGCAGGUGGCGGCGCUGCAGAUGAUCCGGCAAUUGGAGGCAGCCGAGGAGGAGACCCUACCUCGUCGUAGGUAGUCAUGUAGUUUUUUCGUUUUUUUGUAACGACUAUUCUACCGGGUGCGCGAUUAGCGCUCCCGGGGAGUAGCCCCCGAGUUCGGUUGCGACUGUGUGCAGUGGCGGCCGGACUCAACGUUGUAAUGUAAUAUCCUUGAAUUUCUUGGCAAUAUUGCACCCCUUCUUUUUUUUGGAAAUGGAGCGCCCUGACUUGCCAAUCAGCGCCGAGUCGAAUUCUGACUUGUGGAAGUCGAAUUUGAGUCGGAUUUGAAGUACUCUCGGUGGGUGUGCCUCGCAGUCGGAUAUAAAUAACCGAGUGCGGACUCGAACUUACUAGCCAGCGCAAGGGAUUUGUCCUGCUGAUUAGCACUUGGGUCUUGCGAGAAGAUAUGUAUUCCUCCGAUGCACUCGAGGUUAUGCAUAUCCGUUUGGGACAUGUUGAAUACUACCUUGCGCAAGCACGGGAGGAGAUCUCCUUGCUCAAGUCGGAGAAUAGGGCCGCAUCGGGCCGAGAGGAUUUCCUCCUUGGGGAAAUCGUGAAGCUGAGUUCAGAUUUGCGAGGUAACAGUUGAGUCCUUUGCUUGAAGUUGUUGAGUUAACUGAAAUUUGACUGAUUUGGACACGCCACGUUUUGCAGAUAUGAUGCCAGAACCAUAUGUUGAAGCUGAACGUGUAAAGAGUCGUCUUGAUGCUUUAGCACGAUCUGGUUCAGAGACCCCAUCCUUCAGGUCAAACCGCGACAAGGGUUACGCCCUUGCGCUGCUGUAGGAUCGAGUUGCAAGAGCAGUGAUCUGCCUGAAGUCCUGCAGUCACUGUUUGACAGAGGUGCACCAUAACUUGUUUCCGGAGCUUCCUGUUCCUGUUGACCUGAAGGGAUUAAUCGAGAGAUUUUGUGAAGGAGCAGUAGUGAGAGGGGCUACUCAUGAACAAUUGGUGGAGGGGGCUGUGCUGGCCCUCUCGAUUGUUCGUCUUUGCUACCCCUCAUUGAAUCUAGACUCCCUGCAUUUGGCUCCCUCUUACAUUCCAGACGAUGCUCAGCUUUGACCGAUUUACGACAUGAUGGAGAACACGGCCCGUCGGCUGGUGAUUCUUAUGGCCUUGGAGUAGAGUAGGCCUUGAUAUUCGUUAAAGACGUAGGCGCAGUUGCCUGAGUAGUACUUUUACCAGGUGUGCGACCAGCACUCCCGGUGGGAGUAGCCCCCGGGUCUGUGGAUGACUGGUUUGCAGUCAUGUGGAGACCCAAAUACUUUGAAAUCUUUUGUAAUUGAAAACUGUUAGCAUCGUUGAAGAUACCUUCUUGUUCUGUACUUUCGUUGAUCUUGUGUGAGAAGACAUCGUGACUCCAAUUUUGCUUGCUUGGAAACUGUCGUCCAUUGAAAGAUUGUGCUAAUGUUUGUUUACGCGAUAACCUGUGAAUGUCGGGUGCGUACAUCGAGAGGUUUUAGAGUCCACUGAAUGCAGCCUCCACGCGUCGGUUGCGCCCAAUGACAAGUUUGGUCGAUUGGACGAAGCCCCCGAGUGUCGGGUGGGUCCAAUGACAAGUUUUGGGUCGAUUGGACGCAGCCCCCGAGUGUCGGGCGCGUCCAAUGACAAGUUUUGGGUCGAUUGGAUGCAGCCCCCGAGUGUCGGGUGCGUCCAAUGACAAGUUUUGGGUCGAUUGGACGCAGCCCCGAGUGUCGCGUGCGUCCAAUGACAAGUUUUGGGUCGAUUGGACGCAGCCCCGAGUGUCGCGUGCGUCCAAUGACAAGUUUUGGGUCGAUUGGAUUGAGCCCCCGAGUGUCGGGUGCGUCCAACGACAACUUUGGGUCGAUUGGAUGCAGCCCCCGAGUGUCGGGUGCGUCCAAUGACAAGUUUGGGUCAAUUGGACGCAGCCCCCGAGUGUCGGGUGUGUCCAAUUACAAGUUUUGGGUCGAUUGGACAUAGCCCCCGAGUGUCGGGUCCGUCCAAUUACAAGUUCUGGGUCGAUUGGACACAGCCCCUAAGUGUCGGGUGCGUCCAAUGACAAGUUUGGGUCGAUUGGACGCAGCCCCGAGUGUCGGGUGCGUCCAAUGACAGGUUUGGUAUCGUUCUCUCAGUUGUGAGUGUGAUGCGAUCGCAACAAAGUAAGUAAAAAGAAAAAGACUCUGAAUAGAGGAGCUUAAAAAUGCAGAAAAAAAAGAGAAUCUAAAAGAAAAGAAAAUCAAGUAAAAAAGCCUGGCGUGUUGGCAGCGCAAUUGCGUGGCGUUCCGCGCCUUGCUUCUUGAGUCCCCGGCUCUGGAUUGGAGUCUGAGGGCGAGGUUUUUGAUUCAAAUUUCCCGUAGUCGAGUUGGCUGAACAGCCAUGUCGAGGCGCGGAUGAGCUCGCAAGUAUGUGUUUGAACUGACUCAUUCUUCGGCAGGCGUCUUCUGAGCUACACUUCAUGGGCUGCGAAGCCGGCUUGGUGUGCUGGUUGCUUUAGUGCGCCUGCUAGAAGGGGCUCCCGUUGUUGUGGUUGGGGGAGCCCAGCGAGCCAAUGCCCCCUUAGUUGAUAGGGCUGCUAGCUGAGCCAGCGUUGGCCUCCUUUGAUGAAGAAGCAUGUGCUUCCUCUGUCUUCGAGUCUACACUGCCUGUGGCCUCAAUGGCUCUUUUCUUAAGAACGGAAUUUUGGUUGUCGUCUGUUAAGAAGUAGGCCUGACCAGCCUGGUCCUGCGCGGCAAGUGAUUCGGAAAUUUUAUGGAAUUCACGGUCGCAGUGAUCAGACCUUGGGAAGCUUCUAGAGAUAGUUAUCACACCGUUGGGUCCAGGCAUUUUGAGCUUAAGGUAAGCGUAAUGCAGGACUGCCAUAAAGCGUGCUAGCGCGACGCGACACAAGACCACGUGGUACUGGGAUGGCCAGUCGACCACUUCGAAGUCGAGUCUUUCUCGUCUGAAGUUGUCGGGUGUGCCGAACACCACGUCAAGGCUAACUUUGCCCAGUGGAGCGGCUGCUUAUCGUGGGAUGAUCCCAUGGAAGGUUGUCUUUGUGGGAGCCAGUUUUGUUGUCGAGCGGUUCAUCUUUCGUAGGGUGUCGGCGUAGAUAAUGUUUAGCCCACUACCGCCGUCGAUGAACACUCUGUUCAACAUGUAGCCCCCGAUCUGUGCGUCGAGCACCAGUGCUGCGUUUCCCGGUUGUGGGAUGCAGGGUGGGUGAUCUUCUCUGGAGAAUGUGAUCUCCACUUCCGACCAGUCGAGGUACUCCGUUGAGGAGGGAGGUGACCUCACGGCCAUAUGGACCUGUCGAGUUAUGGACUUUUGGACCCGAUUUGUGGGUGUCUCUUUUUGAAUCAUGCAGAUGUGACCGACCGGAGUCGGAUAUGAACUGGCGACCGUUGUCGGUGCUUCAGGUGGCGGUGCAAGUGCGACUGGGUGAACUGCUUCGGUGAAACUGGCUGGGUGCGGAGGCGGAGGAGGAACACCGAUGCCUAGGGCUCCUGGUAUGGGAGGCGGCAAGGGUGCAUUGACUCCUUCAUUAGGGUAUGGAAGCAUCCCAGGUAAUUGUGAGAAGCCUGCACUGGUUGCCGACUGCUGUGUCCUCACAAACUCAGCCUGUAGUUCCUUGAAACACCGGCACUCGGCUAGAGGGUGACUUGGCUUGAUGUUGCCUUGCUCAUCCCUGUAGACGUGAAACGGGCAAGGGGAAGCUAGCUGCUGAGCAAGGGUUGGUUGAUUUCCUUUUCUCUGCCAUUGUUGCUUACGCUUGUCACCACCUCGAAAACCACCACCGCGAUUUCCGUUCUCCCAAGAGCCAAAAUCUGUUAGAGCGGCUACCGCGAUGAAUUCAGGUGGGUGCGAUUCUUCGAAGGCUCGGUUUUUACGCUUCCUCCGUCGAUCGUGACCACGAUCACCCUCUUCCUCUAGAGAUCGGUGGCGUUCAUUACGAACUGAGUCUUCACCGUCAGCGCAUCGAUUGGCGAUUUCCAUUAGAUAGCUGAUGGUUGUGGGUCACACACGACCCAAUUCUUCCUUGAGUUCGACUCGUCGGAGUCCUCGUUUGAAGGCGUCGAUGGCGCUUUCAUUGGAGACUUUCUCAGAAGCGUGUUUGGUGUUGGUCCAGUGCUGGAUGUACGAACGGAUGGAUUCUCCCUCCUUUUGAAUUCAAGCUCGGAGUUGCUCGAGGGAGACGGGUCGUUUGUAUGUGGACCUGAAGUUGUGGGUGAAAGCUUGGACAAGCUCCUCCCACGAGUCAAUGUCGUCUCGUGGUAAGCCAGUUAACCAUGUGCAUGCAUAAACUUUGAGUUGCAGCUGCAGGCACUACAUGGCGGUGGUACGAGAGCCGCCUUGACAGCGAAUCCCAGUGAGGUAGUCUUCUAGCCAAGUCUUGGACUCUUGAGUGCCGUCAUACUUGGCUAGAUCGGUUGGCGGUUUGAAGUUUCUGGGCAUCCUGGAUUGACAAAUGCGACGGUUGAAGCAUGGCGCUCCGCAUGUCUCGGCCUCGUGAUUGGAGUCCGGCGAGCGGUCACGAUACCUGUCUCGCCGAUCGCGGUUUGCGACCCGAGGAGACCCCAGUGUUUCCCUCGGGUGCGAGUCGCGCUCCUUGUGACCUCGUGGAGGCGGGUCGAGGUCAUGCUGGGUUUCUCCAUCGCGGCGGGAUGAAGUCUUGUCCCGCGGCUGCCUUCGGUUGUUGAAGUCUUGGCUGAUACAAGAAGCCCCCGCUUUAUUCAAUCCUUCCAGAAUCUGCUUGUGAAGCCGCGAGCGCGGGUCACUAUCAGGUGGCUGGAUCGUUUGUAGGUAGGUAUUGGCUGCAAGCAAGGCAGCCUCUGGGGUUUCUGGUAUCAUAUCGUCGUGGUCGUCCAGGUUGAAGCCAGGUUUCAGGAAGUGUGAUCACGAUGCGAGAUGUUUCGUCUGGGGAGAGGAUGCGCCCCUUGGCUGCUUGGGGUGGCCUGAUCUUUCGGUGAGAUGGAUAACUAUGAUUUGGAGCAGAAGUAGACGUUGACGAUCCGACUACACCGGACACUAGACGGUGCACUUUAGCAAUCGCUACACCAACUCCCUGUGGUUAUUGACAGAACCAAAGGCGCCGUCAACCUAAACACGAAGUUCCAAUCGCUGCUAAGAAUUGAGAACAAGCAAGAAUCGAGAUAAGGCAAUCUGAAAUUGCAAAUAAAGAUGAAGUACAGCAGUCUCAAGGAGACGAGUAAGAAGGUGGGGUUCCGAUGGCGGUUCUUCCAGUAGGUCUAGCCGACACUAGUGGUGAAGCCUGAAGUUGCAGCAAUGGCUAACUUAUCUAAACAAAGCCCAACCAGCCAAAGGGGGUGGUGGCUGCACUUAUAUAGAGGGUGGGAGGUGGAAGAGAGCUAGGGUUUCAGAUUCUAAGAUGGGAUGGGCUGUGUUACAUGGCCUUGGGCUCAUUAGAAGUGCAAGUGGCAGCCCAAGCAUCUCUUAUCUUCCCAUGACUUUAAGAGACUGCAGCUUCUCAUAUUCUCGUGGUAGUUGCUGCACCGUUUCCUUUCGCACGCGUGUCUUCAUCGUCGAAGUUCGACUCGCUCCCAUUCCUUGUGUCACGGCUCGGUCCUUCAUUCCUAAUCAACAUAGGUGCAUCUGAUUUAGGCAUCAUCAUAUUCUCAUUUAGAUUGCCCAUAGUACAAAGAAACGAAAGUACCUGAUAAUUGAGUUGGCGCGCACGCACACGAGUAAUCGGUUCUUGUAAUGUCGCGGUUGUAUCUGUGAGGUGGAUGUCCUCAUCAUCCUCCCCUUCUUGAAACGGAGUCAUCCGCAAUACCAUCUCAUCAUCCUCGCCCAAGUAGGGCUUCAAAUCUGCAAUGUUAAAUGUGGGACUAACCCCACCAUAAUCUGCAGGCAGCUCAAAUUGAUAUGCAUUAUCAUUUAUUUUCGCUAGAACCUUGAAAGGGCCAGCAGCACGAGGCAUGAGUUUAGAACUACGCAAAUUAUGGAAACCGGUCCUUUCAUAACUGUAACCAAACAAGAUCACCGGGUUGAAAAACAACCUCUUUUCUCCCUCUAUCACCAGCAAGUUUAUACUUGUCAUUCAUACGCUCAAUGUUGACUUUAGUGGUCUCAUGUAAUUUUAGAAUCAUUUUAGCCCGUGCACUAGCAUCAAGAUUAAUCUUUUUAGAAGUUGGAAGGGGCAGCAAAUCAAUGGGUGCACGAGGAAUAAAACCAUGGACAACUUCAAAAGGGCAUAACUUAGUAGUAGAAUGCAAUGAACAAUUAUAAGCAAAAUCAACAUGAGGCAAGCAUUCUUCCCACAAUUUUAAGUUUUUCUUUAAAACAGCCCUAAGCAUGGUAGACAAAGUUUUAUUAACAACUUCAGUUUGUCCAUCAGUCUGGGGAUGACAAGUAAUUUUGUCCCCAAUUUUGUCCAUAAACACCUCCAAAAGUGGCUCAAGAAUUUGGUGUCCCGAUCUGAAACUAUAAUGUUGGGCACACCAUGCAAGCGUACAACUUCACGAAAGAAAAGAUCAGCAACAUGUGUGGCAUCAUCACUCUUGUGGCAAGGAAUAAAAUGAGCCAUCUUUGAAAAUCUGUCCACGACAACAAAUAUGCUAUCCCUCCCCUUCUUAGUUCUAGGUAAUCCCAACACACAAUCCAUUGAUAUAUCCUCCCAGGGAACAUUAGGGACAGGGAGAGACAUAUAUAAACCAUGAGGAUUGAGUCGUGACUUAGUUUUUUGGCAUGUGGUGCAGCGAGCAAUGAAUCUCUCAACAUCCCAUCUCAUCCGAGGCCAAAAGACAUCAACAGCGAGCACAUCCUCUGUCUUCUUCACUCCGAAGUGACCCAUUAAACCUCCUCCAUGCGCCUCCUGCGACAACAAAAGACGAAUGGAGCUAUCUGGGAUGCAUAGCUUGUUAGCACGGAACAGAAAUGCAUCAUCAAUGAUGAACUUGUUCCAAGUCUUUCCCUCUCUACAAUGCUGCAAAACAUCUUUAAGAUCUGCAUCUUGCACAUAUUGUUCUUUGCUGGUCUCCAAACCAAAGAUUUUGAAGUCAAGUUGUGAAAGCAUGGUCUAACGGCGUCAUAAAGCAUCAGCAAUAACAUUGUCCUUUCCCUUCUUGUGUUUGAUUACAUAGGGAAAAGACUCAAUGAAUUCAACCCAUUUUGCAUGCCUACGGUUCAGUUUUGCUUGGCUGUGAAUAUGCUUCAAAGAUUCAUGAUCUGAAUGUAUAACAAAUUCUUUGGGCCAUAAAUAAUGUUGCCAUGUUUCGAGGGUUCGAACUAGAGCAUAUAAUUCUUUAUCAUAAGUAGAAUAGUUCAAAGCAGGCCCUCCUAAUUUCUCACUAAAGUAAGCAACAGGUUUGCCCUCUUGUAAUAACACACCUCCCAAACCAAUUUGAAGCGAUCCUCCCCCUUACUAGGGUUUGAUCUCUGUGCUUACUGUGCUAGUCCCUGGAUCGACUCACUAGCACACACAUUUCCAUGAUGAAGUAUACAGAAACAAAGGUCAAAAAUACUUUAUUACAUCGCAUCAUCCAGAGUUUAAAUAGUACUUACAACCUCGCAUGACCUCUUGGGCCAGCAUAAAACAAAAAUUGUUUCAACAUCAUAAAACAAUGUUUCAAAAUACCGCAGCGGAAAAGGGUAGAACAUAAGGGCCACACUACUCCAAGGUGAGAGCAUGUUGGAAUGUAAGCACAUGACCCACAACAAAACGACGAACCUCACUCAUCAUCGGAUCCACCUGCAUUGUUAAUUGCAGCCACUACGUGGUCAAUACAUUUGAAUGUAUUGGCAAGUUCACCAGAGAUAUAACAGAUCCUAUCAAGUAUAGGUGGGGUUUGGCUAUUUGCAUAAAAGCAUCAUUGUUCAAUCCUAUCAUUUUAAACAAAUAGUUUUGAAUUCUAUUGGACACGGGGUAGAAACAACCAUGCUCCUAUUAACCUAGGCACAUUGAGUAGAAACAACAAUGCUCCUACCCAGUUCAAACCAUUCAUUUUAUUUGGAAAUUGGAGUGAGUGAGACCUUCCUUACAGCCCCAAUAUCUAGUUGCUCAUAAUUGUCUGUAACCGGGGACAUGGCUAAGUAGUUAGUUUGACACUCUCGAGAGGUGGUACACUUUACCCACAAGAAAUCGACGUGUUAAUCCCUUGCUGUCCUCAGGGUAGAGUAGCAACGGUAUCGACUACAGGAAUUUUCAGAACAUAAUCCCCCAGUCCACCUGAGGGACGCGUCCCCACCUACACUGCUACAUACCGAUGUCACCUCGGAUCCGGGUUCAUAUUUCUUACAUCCAUCCUGGCAGAGCCAAUAAUACCAUGUGGUUGUACUGGAAGCUCCUAAACAGGAAACUAGUCCAGUCUCUGGUUACCCCGGGUGGCAUUCCUCGGUUGCAACGCAGGCGCUCCCAUAGAAAUGGCGAGACGACUCAUAGAAAUGGACCCAUAGAAAUGGACCUGACGCCGCAUACAUCUCCACUUCCUCAAAGUAGCCCACCCAGGACGGUUCAUUAAAUUACUUGUUUUGCCAUACACUAGGAAAACUAUAUUGUAAUUCAAUAGUAUCACAUUGUAAUAAUACCGCCCUCGUUUAUUAUCAUAGCAUAGCAAUUUACUACUACGAUAGCAAUUGGUGGUUAGGAAAUGGCAAGGGUAUCCUAUACUACUAGGACAGAUCAUAGCUCGCAUAGAUAUAGUAAUAAUCCUAACAAUGCAACUAAUAAAAAUCUAGUGCAUAAUAAAAUAAUGGGAUGAUGAUCAAAGUGAACUUGCCUUGAUAGUAGUUGGUAUUCAAACACUCUUCGCAAUCACACAGUUCGCUCUCCGAGAAAACUAUACAAUCAAGCAAACAUACACAUACAUAAACACAUUGGAUAGAGGACAUUAAAUGCCAUGAUGCAAUGCCAAACAUGUGACAUGAGUUUGGUUUAUUUUAUUUGGGUGAUCUACUGAUCCAAUGCCUUGAGAAUUAAACACAUGUAAUUAGGGUUUUAAACAAAAAGCAAAAGCUAGGGUUUAAACCCUAAAAUGAGGUUUUAUUUGCAUCUGCAAAGCAAUUUAAUUCAAAAUAUUUAUUUCCCUGUCCCAUUGGACAGAGGAUAUUAAAACAAAAUUUUGGGCACUGGUUUCAUUCAACAAGAACUUUAAAUAAUUAGUUAUGAUUUAAAUGGCAUAAAACGCUAAUCUGUAAUUUGAAUGUGAUUCAAUUAUUCAAAUUUGAAUUUGGACAGUGCCAAAAUAUUCUACACUUCCUAAGGAUUCCAAAAAGGUGUGGAUCAUUAAAUUUGGCCAAACAGAUUUAAAGUUGUGAUCAUUUGAAGUUACAGGGGCCUAUCUGCAAAAUGCCAUUUAAUUAUUCCGGGGCAUUAAAAAUUAGAUUUUCAUUUUAUUUACGCUGUGGCACGUGUCAUCUCCUGAUUUGCGCAUACCGGUUUGUUUAAAAUAAAAUCUAAGAUCUAAUCCGGACCGUUGAUUGAGAUCCAACGGCCCGGGGGCAUCGGGCUCACCUCCGGCCGUUAGGGUUUCGGCAGACGGCGUCCGGUGGCGGCGCGGCACGGGCGGGGCGGCGCAGGAGUGUUCCGACGACGUGGGCGCGACGGGGAAGCAACGGGCAAGGGCGGCGCGGCACGGCGGAGACGCGGGCGCGGUCGGCGGCGCUCAGGGACGGCGGGGUCGGCGCCGCGGACGAAGACGGGCGGGCGGCGCGGUCGGCGGACGGCGGCGCGGCCUCGGGUGUCGUCGGCGGGGAGCUGCAGCGCACGAAAAGGAAAAAGAAGCGCGUCAUCUUGACCGCGAGGGAGAGAGAAGAAGAGAGAGAGGGACGGCUUCGAGGAAGGCUCACCGGACUUCGUCGGCGAGAGAGAAAACGGCGGCGGCGCGGUCGGACUCCGGCGAGAAAUCGGGGCGGCCUGGCGGCGCGAUUGGCUGGGGAAGCAAGGGGGAAGAAGAGAGGAGGGCAUGGGCUAUUUAUGGACGCGCUCGGGCUCGAGGAUUAAUGGACGGAGCGAGGGGAAUCCGGCGCUGAGCGCGUGGCGGCGAAGAAGGAAGGCGCGCGGCGGACGCAGGGCUUUCCUUCCGGGGAAGAAGCCCCUGACAGGUGGGCCCCACCUGUCAGCGGGUGCGGGCACGGCGCGAGCGAGCGGCUGGGCCGGCUGGGCUGCGGCGCACGCGAGGGAGUUGGGCCGGUUCAGCCCAAUUCGGCCGGGCCGGUCCGUUCCUCCCCUUUAUUUUUCCCCCUUUUCUUUUUCUAUUUUUCUUAUUCCUUUGAUAUCUUUUGAUUUUGAACUCCAAAUUGGUCCAAAUAAAUUCCAGAAAAUUUGUAUAAUCAUGUUCUACCAUGAGACAACUUUUGGGAGUAGUUUCUCUUCAAAAUAAAAUAUAUAAAAAUAUAUUUGCCCUAUAAAUGCCUUUAGGGCCACAUAUCUAUUUAAAUAAAAUACUUUUUCAACUCCAAAGAAUUACCCAAAAAUUAUGGGAUAGCUCAUAUGUGCAAUAAACCCCUUUUAUAUAUAAACCUUAAUGGUUUGAAGGUCCAAAGCUCAAAUAGGUGUAAACAAAAUCUUUUAAAGCCUUUUGUGAUUCAAAUUUGAAUUCAAACAUGCAAUUGUGGCAUGAUGCUUAUGGAUGCAAUGCUCAUGUAAAAGUUUGAAAUUUUGGGAUGUUACACAAUUCCACUAGCAUCACAUUCAAGCUCAAAGGUUUUGUUAAAAUCAGGAAGUUGGAGUAAAGGAGCAUGUGUCAACUUAUCUUUCAAUAUGCUGAACGCCUCUUCUUGCGUAGGUCCCCAAACAAAGGGAACAUCCUUCUUUGUGAGCUCAUUUAGAGCGGCAGCAAUGGUGCUGAAAUCCCUCACGAAGCGCCGAUAGAAUCCAGCGAGGCCAAGAAAACUCCUCACUUGAGUGACCGUCUUCGGCGGUGGCCAGCUUUGGAUGGCUUCAACUUUGGCUUUCUCCACUUCAAUUCCCUGCGGUGUCACAACAUAGCCAAGAAAAGAAACUCGAUCCGUGCAGAAGGUGCACUUGUCAAGGUUACCAAACAAGCGUGCAGUCCGUAAGGCAUAAAAAACAGCAUGCAAGUGAUUUAAAUGAUCCUCUAAAGACUUGAUGUAGAUCAAGAUAUCAUCAAAGUAAACUACCACAAAGCGUCCAAUAAAAGACCAUAAAACCUCAUUCAUUAGUCGCAUAAAGGUGCUGGGGGCAUUCGUCAAACCAAAAGGCAUAACUAGCCACUCAUAGAAACCGAAUUUAGUUUUAAAUGCAGUUUUCCAUUCAUCUCCAAGCCUCAUACGGAUCUGGUGGUAACCACUACGCAAAUCAACCUUAGAGAACAUGGUAGAGCCGCUCAACUCAUCAAGCAUGUCAUCUAAUCGUGGAAUUGGAUGGCAGUAGCGAAUGGUAAUAUUGUUGAUAGCUCUGCAAUCAACACACAUGCAGGAGGAUCCAUCUUUCUUUGCUACCAAAAGAAUAGGGAUAGCACAUGGACUAAGAGACUCACGAAUGUAACCUUUGUCGAGCAGCUCCUGCACUUGUCGCUGAAUCUCCUUGUCUCCUCGGGGUUGGUACGGUAUGGCGCUCUAUUGGGAAGUGCAGCCCCGGGAAUCAAAUCAAUUUGGUGCUCUAUCCCGCGGACCGGUGGUAAUCCCAGUGGUGUCUCUUGUGGAAAGACAUCCUCGAACUUCUGCAAAAGGUUAGCAACGGCAGGGAGCAAAGACGAAGGCAGAUCCUCAAGCAAAAACAAAGCCUCUUUGCAAAUAAUGGCAAAGCAAGUAGAGACACAAGUGUCAAGUUCAGAAAUAUCAGAUUUGGUAGCAAGCAAACAUGUACCCUUUAAACGAAUCUCAUUACCAAUUUUAGGUUCAGAUUUGGGUGCACUUGUUUGCCCUAUAAAUUCUUUAGCAACAAUCUGAUUUUCACUUUUAGCUUUGGCCAGAUUUUUAUCUCUACUAGCCCGAGAAAGAUCAUCCUUUAAAACCUGUUCAGGAGUCAUUGGUUUGAGGCCAAUCUUAUUUCCAUUAUGCACAAGAGAGUACUGGUUAGUUCUACCAUCAUGAAUUCACUCUCUAUCAUAUUGCCAAGGUCUACCAAGUAACAAGGAACAUGCUUGCGUAGGUGCAACAUCAAAAUCAACAAAAUCAGCAUAUAUACCAAUUGCAAAAUGUGCACGAACAGUUCGGGUUACCUUGACCUUACCACUGUUAUUGAACCAUUGGACAUAGUAGCGAUAGGGGUGCGGCCUGAUUGUGAGAGCAAGCUUCUCAACCAAAUCCAAACUAGCCAAGUUGUUGCAACUCCCUCCAUCGAUGAUGAUACGGACGGCCCGCUCCUUGAUAACGCCACGUGUUUGGCACAAGUUGUGGCGCUGAUUUUGGUCAACCGGGCUGGGCUGCACACUUAACACAUGUUGGGUGACAAGGCUCUUGUAUUGAUCAGCAUGUUUAGCACCCAUCAUCUCCAUUUCUUGCUCAGCCGUGCCCUCCGUUUACUCUUGGUCAGCAAUCAAAGCAUAGGUGUCCUCAUCAAGGUCACUAGCUGAAUUGUAGCCAUCUUCAGGAAUAAUCAUCACACGUUUCGUAGGGCAAUCCUUGUGGAAAUGACCAUAACCCUUGCAUUGGUGGCAUUGCACAUCUCCUGUUCGUCCCGUGGAGCCUAUAGAUGAUGUGCUCGGGGUUGGGGCAGCCGGCAUGCUUUUAGUCGUAGUUGGGGAUGCCGUACUCGAACAUGGUUGCCACGAGCUUGUUUUGUUGGAGGAGGUGGUUGCAGCAGCCGUGCGAGUAGGAGGGGCUGAAGUGGUGCGUCGCGUCCACGCAGUAGUGCGACCUGCAGAAAUGUUAGUCCUUGCCUUCGGUUGGCGGUCCUGCACUUCACGUUCAGCUUUGCAAGCAAGAUGGAAUAAACGCGUGAUAUUAUUGUACUCCUUAUAAUCAAGUAUGGUUUGAAUAUCCCUGUUCAACCCACCUACGAACCUAGCCAUCAUGGCUUCAUCAUCUUCAAUGAUAGCACAACGGAUCAUUCCCGUUUGCAGCUCUUGAUAAUAAUCUUCUACAGAUUUAGAGCCUUGAUUUAAACGUUGCAGCUUGCCUAGCAUUUCUCGUUGAUAGAAAGGAGGUACAAAUCGAGCUCUCAUGGCACGUUUUAACGUAUCCCAAGUGUUGGGAAUAUUAUUAUCAUGCAACCUACAAUGUUCACUCCACCACGUUGAAGCAAAACCAGUAAAUUCACAAACGGCGGUUCUAACUUUUCUAUCUUCAGGAAAGUCAUGGCAAGUGAACCAUUGUUCUACCUCUAGUUCCCAAGUAAGGUAAGCAUCAGGGUCAUAGCGACCCUCAAAUGGCAGCAUAGAAAACUUAACCUUAGGGACAUUAAAAUCAUCACGUACCUCCCGACGUGGCCCCAUACCAUGUCGAUUAUGAUGCAGCCGACGAGGUUGGCGGUCGUUGAUGCGGUUGGUGUCUUGUGGGUCCUCUGAAUUAGCAGCAUAAUCGGAAUCGUCGGAGGCCGCCAUGUCCUCACCAUGUCAUGCAGGAACUCCAGUGCGGGAUGCAGUACCGUAAUGCGCCGUUUCAAUGUGAAGGGCACGAGGGCGACCAGCUGGAGGUGGUUGUUGUGGUUGUUGCCGAGAUGGGGGCUGCCAGUGUGUUCCAUCCAUGCGAGCAAGGAGGGUGUCAAACUUGGUAUUCAUUUAUCGCAGCAUGUGUCUUUUCCAUGUCCGUGACAUGGGUGAGCAACCACUUGAUGUCAUCAUGCACUGUGCGUCAGCGAGGGGUGAGGUCAUCGCCACUGUUCUCUCCAGGGCCUGCCAUGGUUAGUGCAAACAAGGAAAACAAAGCACUACAAAGCUCCUAUGCACUAGUGGGAUGUGGGGAAAAAGGCUCUCAACACUCGUGCAGUUUCACAAUUCUUACAAGUUCUUACCAUGCAGCAGGGGGUGACUCAGCAAUCAACGGUGUCUCACCACGAAGAAGAUUGGAUAAGCGAUUGCCAGGAGACACGAAACUCUGCACAAAAUCGUUUAAAGUGGAGCUUGUGUGGCUGAUAUUAGUACCAAGGAUAAGCAAUGAACAAAUAGCAAUACAAAGUUGACAAUAUUGUCACAAAUGCUAGUCCUAGCUGCUGGACUUCGAGUAGUACAAGUAGGAUAAGAAUCUAAGCCCAGAUGAUGAAGUGAAAAGCCGAAAACACGAGCACAAGAACUCAAAUUCGAUGAUUUUUCCGAAAUGUCCAGUAGGAUAUUUUUGGGUUUUGACCCUCUUCCUGAGCUCCGAUUGAGCUGAAAUUUUAACAGCAGCUUCCUGAUGUGGCCCUUGAUUUUACAGAAUUUUUCCAGAUUUUUCUAGGCACUUUGAAUUUUCGAGCCCAAAAGCAAUUUUGACCAGAUUUGCCUCUGGUUUUGGGCCGAAAUUUUUCUUUUUGAUAAAGGGGAACCAAUCUCAGAUCUCUUAUAUUUGCUUCUUUAGCACAGGGAAAUAACUAAAUAACUUUCUCACUCACAAAUUUUGGGUAGAAAGAGCAGGGGUAAAAAGCCCAAAAGCAGCUCUCUCUCUCUCUUUCUAUCUCUCUAGUCUUUGACUUUUUCAGAUCCACGGUGGCUGGGAUUGAUGGGGGUGAUUUGGUGGUGUUGGAUGAGUGAUUUGGCAGCGGUGGAUGGGGAGAACAUGGGUGGUAGCAGAUCGGGUGAAGUGGUGGGGUGUGGUGACAGCAAAAACUCCAAGAACUCGAAGAACACGAAGAACAGGGGAAACAAAAGGGGUACGAUCUGGUAGAAAACAAAUCCAACUCGAACCAACCUAGUCCAGCAACUUGACACGAAGAGUGCAGCAACAAAUCAACAAAGCAAUAAGUAAUCGAACAUGCACGGCUCAGAUCUGGUGCUAGGACAAGGUAACUGAAAAACAAUAUUUUUGUGGGGCUUUUUCUAGACUGUAGGUAGAAGAAGAAGAACUAAGGGAUAACUGAAAUUUCUCACCGAGCAACUUGAGCUCUGGUACCACUUGAUGCGCCCCUUGGUUGCUAGGGGUGGUGGUUGCAGCAAUGGCUAACUUAUCUAAACAAAACCCAACCAGCCAAAGGGGGUGGUGGUUGCACUUAUAUAGAGGGUGGGAGGUGGAAGAGAGGUAGGAUUUCAGAUUCUAAGAUGGGCUGGGCUGUUACAUGGCCUUGGGCCCAUUAGAAGUGCAAGUGGCAGCCCAACAUCUCUUCUCUUCCCAUGACUUUAAGUGGCUGCAGCUUCUCGUAUUCUCGUAGUAGUUGCUGCACCGUUUCCUUUCGCACGCGUGCCCUCGUCCUCGAAGUUCGACUCGCUCCCAUCCUUGUGUCACGGCUCGGUCCUUCAUUCCUAAUCAACAUAAGAGCAUCUGAUUUAGGCAGCACCAUAUUCUCAUUUACAUUGUCCAUAGUACAAAGAAACAAAAGUACCUGAUAAUUGAGUUGGCGCACACGAGCACGAGUAAUCCGUCCUUGUAAUGUCGCGGUUGUAUCUGUGGGGUGGAUGUCCUCAUCAGGAGAUCUCUCGGAGGUGUGGCUCCUUCAGAAUCGCUGAGUGAACCCGGGCGAGUUCUUUUGUGUGCCUGGAUGUCUUCAUCCGGUUUCUUGAGCCUCUCCGCUUCAAGCUUUUGCUUCUUGACGAAAUCCUCCUUCUCUUUGUUCAGGUCGCGCUGAGCCCUAGCAAGUGAGUUAGCAUAUAAUUGCAACUCAGCAAUACUGGGAUCCUUCAUGAGGACUCCCGACUCCAGGGCUGCCUGGACUCGAGCUUUCUCUGCCGCAGAAUAUCCAGCCGGUAGACAUGCGGAUGCACUCGCGGCCAGAGGAGUCUGCUUUGGGUGGCGGGAUUUGUCAUGAAGACUUGAGCGAUGGCGAUCUCGGGCGCAAGAUCGCUGCUGCUAUGGCAGCCUUCCCGUUCUGAAGAGUUGCCGGCGUUGCCUGGGAUCGGGCUUUCUGCAGACUGGGGUGGAUUGCUGUUGGACUCGGAGUAGGUUCCAAGGGAAACCUGCUCUGUUUCGUCGAGUGCGCCCGGCGAGGUGAGGUUAUCACGGCAACUCCCUUGAUCCGAGCGGUCGCCAGCGUCGCUAGGGACGGGGCUAUUCGCACGUGAGGAUGGAUCGUCUUUGAAAUCAGAGCAGGUCCAAGAGGGGACUCGCUCUGCCUCCUAGAGUAGUUUCGAUGAGCCUGUCGGCGGGUCUUUCUCUGAAGGAGAAAAGAGAAGCAGUUCUUCCGGAGUCGAAGGAGUCGAACACGGUAAUCGAAGGAUACCGGAUCGGACGUGGAACUCACCGAAUAUGAGAUCCAAGCGGGCAUCAAGCUUGUCCAAGACUACGGGGUUGGACUGAAGGCGAACGGCAGAAGGCUCAAGGAUCGUCGACUCCGCCUGAGUCGAUGAUGGUUCUGCUGGAUCUGGAACCGCCAAGGUCGUGUUUCCAACACACGUUCUUCCACAGACAGCACCAAUAACAAAGAUGUAACUUCGACAAUGUCCAUAUUGAUGGACUUGUACCAAGGAAAGAGGAGUGUGUGUUGGUGAACUCGUCGGCUAACAAGGACACAGGGGACACGAUUUACCCAGGUUCAGGGCCCUCGAUGAGGUAAUACCCCUACGUCCUGCUUGUCGGAUCUGUAUUGAUGAGUCGAUUACAAUGGUGUGCCGCAGAGUCUAGAGGCACCGAGUCGUCGAGUGCGUCUAGGCGACUUGUAUCUAAGUGGGGGGGUGUCCUCUUGGCUCCCCCUCCUGGUCCUUUAUAUAUGCAGGAACUCAGGUCUCAGGUAGAGUCCAAGUCGGUUACAAUGAAGAGAUAUACUCUAAUUAUCCUUCCUUGUCUUGAGUCGCAAGAUUUGGCAUGUAGACUCCUGGAGUCGAAGUAGGCUUCCUUGUGGACCCCCAGCUGGGCCGUAUUGGGUAUAAUCGAGUCGAGUACGUGGUUAGUCAUAACCACGUCAGGCUCCCGAGGGAGACUCGUUCUGCAUCGUCAGGUGAUCCCGACGAGUCGUUGUUGCUAUGGCAACUUUCUUUUUCCGAGCAGUCGCCAGCGUCGCUUGGGACGGGGCUUUCCGCACACAGAGGUGGAUCUGGUUCAGAAUCGGAGUGGGUCCUGGAGGAGACCUGUUUUGUUUCGUCGAGUGGCCCUGGCGAGUCUGCUGGCGAGACUUUUCCUAGGGACGAAGGAAGUGACGACUCCUCCGGAGUGGGAGCAGUCGGACCCGGCAGUUGAAGGAUGCCAAAUCGGUCAGCUCGGACGUGGAAUUCCCCAAACACGAGAUCCAUGCCAGCAUCAAGCGUGUCGAAGACCGCGCGGCUGGUUGAGGGGUGAGCGGUGAAGUGGAAGGACCCAAAGGUCAUCAACUCCGCCUAAGUCGACGACGGGUUAUCUGAAUCUGAAACCGCCGAGAUCUUUCUCCAACACACGUCUUUCCCACAGACGGCGCUAAUGACGAAGUUGUGACUUCGACAAUGUCCAUAUUGGUGGACUUGUAUCUAGGAAAAAUUGAGUCUAUGUGUUGACGAACUCGUCGGCUAACAAGGACACAGGGAACACGAUUUACCCAGGUUCAGGGCCCUCGAUGGACUAAAUUACAGAAAACCACCACAUUAGUGGCUAGGGUUUCAGGUAGGUACCAGUUUACGUUUUGAUGACUAAAAACCACCGGAUUAGACUAAACAUUCCGUUGCUAGCGGAUAACCCCGAAACUGACGAGCCGGGUCUACUUGUCGGGCCAACAUGGCAUGACUGCGUGGCCACGUUCCUCUAUUCCUCCUCUUUUACGUCCUCCCUCUCCGACCAGCUCCAGCCGCUCUCUGCACGCUCCUUGCCGACAAGCCCACGCCGGCGGCAGACCAGCAGCAGAACCGCCCCACGCCAGAGCCUACGUUUCUUCCCUAUCUUUGGCGAGCGCGUCGCUGCCCCCACAUCCAUGCUGCCUUCGCGUAGUUCCCUAGCGCGGAGCUUCGAUCUGCCCUAGCCGAUUCUUCCACAUCGGUGCCCCGCGCCCUCGCACUUGGUCUUGCAUGAUGACGGCGGAGUGAGCCCCGCCGUGCAGCCCCAUUGGAGCCGUGGAUGCGCGUCGGCCGCCGCUCUGCCGGCCCGCGCGCACUGCUCGUCAUCGCCUCCGCACGUGCUCGCCGUCGCCGCUCUGACCAGCGCAAGCCACGCCAUGGUCUGCAUUGGCAGGAGCGCGAGGCCUUCCGCACCAACCACGACUCCACGAGCCCUUCAAGGUCAGGAAUCAAUCAAUCACACCCGACAUCAUCUUCCGCACCAACCACGAGCUCUUCAAGGUCACCAAUCAAUCAAUCCCACCAUGUAUCAUCAAAUAGCAAAACAGAUCAUCAAUUUGAUGGAGAUUAACUAGAUUUCUAGAUGACAUUUCAGUCUCGUGCAUUUAUGAAGAAGCACAUGUAGAAAUUCGAUCAUUUCUCCCGCCACCCCCUGAUGGCUCGUCUCUGCAGGCAGAUCUUGGCCGGCAGCUGCUGCCCACUUGGACGAGCUCGAGGAUGGUGGGUGGAGACCCGAGACCACGAGGCCGAUGCCCAUCAACGAGCUCGGUCUCUCAGGCAGGAUGGACAGGUCGCAGCGCUCUCGGCGGUGCCAGAGAAGAGGGCGGCGACGUGAUUUGGGUGGAGAAUGGAAAGAAUGCAGAGAGAGAAAGAAGAGAUGAGACAAGUCCUUGCUGCCUUGCUGGCAAGCCACGUUGUCCCGACCACUGGACCCGGCUUGUCAGUUUUGGGGUUGUUUGCUAGUGACCCAACGCUUAGUCUAAUCUGGUGGUUUUUAGUCACUAAUGUGGUCGUUUUCUGUAAUUUACUCCCCUCGAUGAGGUAAUACCUCUACGUCGUGCUUGUCUGAUCUUGUAUUGAUGAAUCGAUUACAAUGCGGUGCCACGGAGGCUAGAUGCACAGAUUCGAUCUGGCGAGUGCGUCUAGGCAACUUCUAGCUAAGUUGGGUUCUUCUUGGCUCCCCCUCCUGGUCCUUUAUACAUGCAGGAAUCCAGGUCUAAGGUAGAGUCCUAGUAAGUUACAAUGAAGAGAUAUACUCUAAUUAAUCUUCCUUAUCUUGAGUCGCAAGAUUUGACAUGUAUACUCCUGGAGUCGUAGUAGGCUUCCUUGUGGUCCCCUAGCUGGGCCAUAACGGGUAUACUCGAGUCGAGUACGUGGUUAGUCAUAACCACGUCAGCCUGCACUAGCAAAAACACUCCAAACGAGAAGGAUGGACCGCAGCUGAUUCCAAGAGCCAUGGGUCACAGGACCCAAAAAUCCGUGUCCCUCUGCUAAUUUCGCUGACGUUCCUAAUUCAACCAGUUAGGCUGCUCAUAGUGGGAGUAACAUAGGUGGUAACAUAAGUGCCAACUAAGCAAAUUCUAGAUCAUAUCCCAAAAGAACUCUUGAUUUCUACUCCUAUAGAUCAAUUUGUUUGUUUUGAGAAGAGAAAAUUACACAAAACCACCACAUUUGGGGCACUCUACUAGGAAAACCAUCUUUUUUUUUUCAAAUUACCAUCGUUUUUGGGGCGGGACGUAAUCGCGCGCACUGAUUCGGCAGUUGAGUGUGUUUUCACUACUACAAAAACCAUUACUACUGCAAGCUCCCCACUGACGCGGUAACAAAAUGCGUCAGGCCAGAUGGACACCUCUGACACUUCAUAUAAAACGUGCCAAGGGAAGCAACUGGGAGCACACGGCAACAAACAAAUCUGACACUCCCUCUCCAGACGCGUCAGAGAAGUUGCACACCUCUGACGCCCGCUCUCUACUGACGCUUCUUUACUUAAGACGCGUCAGAAGAGUGUUACACAGUUCUCACGCAUUCUUCCGUAGAAGUGUCGGUGCUUUGCUUGGGGAGACCUCGGACACUUCUUGGGAGCAAAGCGUCAGGGUCCUUAUGCUACUGCACUGGCUACAUUUUUUUUUGUGACUUGCGUGCGUCAGAGGUCAAAUGCACUAGACACGCAAUUCGAGAUGAACAUAUGUAAAACAAUGUAAAAUGGAUUGAUAGAUUUAUAAGAAAGAUAAGAUAGCAUUGCAUAUAUAUAACAUCGAUUACAAAACACGUCCUUACAAUAAAAGAAAAACUAAAAGUAGUAAAAACAUAUAUUAUAGCCAGAUAUUAAUUAGAUACAAAUAAUUAAAAAACCGCCAUCGUCAUCGGUGGUGGAGUCGGAGCUGUCGUCGUUGUCGUCCACGUGCAUGGCGUCGACGUCGGCCUAGUACUCCCUCACGGCCUGCCUCCCUCGCUCCUCGACAGCGUUGGUACGCUCCGAGUUGAGGAGCGCGGUCUGGUACUCCCACUUCUCCCGUGCCUUCGCCGCCUCUAGGCCGCACUUGAUGGUGUAAGCUUCCGCCUAGGAAGCACGCUUCGCGGCCGCUAUCUGCCGACGGUUGGCUUCACGAGCACGUUGCUCGCAAGUGUCUAGGAGCUCGGACACUUGGAGGACGUGCUGGAGCUCGGGGUCGUUCUCGUCGUCGUCGCUGCACCGGCGCCGCAGCGAGGAAGACGGACCCGCACGUCCUCAGUGGGAUGAGGACAGGAUGUCGUCCUCAUGCCGGGGCCGCUUUCAUGGCGGCAAGCGGCCUCGACGGCUGGCCGAGCUCAUCGCUGCGUCGUUUGGCGGCGAAGGCAAGGAGGGCGGCAACGCGCGCCCAUGGAGGGUGGGGGGAGUCGGGGAUGGAUCGCCCACGGCGGGGGGGCGGAGCGAGGACGGAGCGCCCAUGAUGACCCGCCGAGCUCUCGGCCUGGUCGACGCGCUCUUUGCCCCUGUCCUUGGCCAUUGGCAUUCGAAAGAGGAGCGCUGGGGAAGCGGAGAGAGCUAGCGCUAUAGGGUAGAGAACGAUGUGAAUGUUACCUGCACGUACGAGAAUAUAUAGCCACGUUCGGAGAUGGUAGUGGGGAGAGGAAGAGGCCGGGAAGAGGAAGAGCAUCGAUCGGUUUGUGGGAACACGGGCGCACAUUGCGCGGGAAACCAAGAGCCAGCAUAACUGACUCGUAAAGAGAGUACUAAAAUGUCACACGCGUUAAGGAAAUGCGAAGAGAUUCCAUAUCUCUGACGUUUCCUCCUGCAUGAAGCAUCAGAGGAGCUACACAUCUAACGCUUGCUCGCUUUGGAAGUGUUAGCGGUGUUUCUAUGUCUCUGACACUCCUUGUAUUGAAACGUCAGCCGUAUCGUAGGGUUUCUGCCUCGCCUAUAAAAGGACCUCGAUCGAAGCGCACUAAAGACACACUUGCACACACUUCAUCACACCUAUGGGCAAGACCACUCGUAGACGAAGUCUCGGCCGACCACCUCUCCCCCGCGUCCGGUUGUUGCCUCGCCGUCGUCGUCGCAACUUGCAUGUUGCCUCAUCGGUCUCUUCCUCAUCGUUGACCAUGCCGAGAUCUGAUCGAACUCCAGCAUCAGCUCGUCGUCUUUUUUGUAAGAAUGCCCAUCUGCUCGUUGUCUUUUUGGUAAGAUUACAGAGGUGUUCCAAGUAAAAAAGGACGAUGGGCAUUUCUUCUUCAUUUCGUCCAUGACCUUCUCCACCAUCCUUUUUUUCAUUUCCUCCUUGAUCGUUUCUUUUCCUCUGCCUUUUCCUUUUCUUCUUCCACAGCGUGAUUUUCUUCUUCUUCUACAUGAAUCACUUCUUCAUCCUUUUGUCUUCCACAGCUUGCUUCUCUUCCAAGGAUCUUCUUCUUCUUCUAUGCGGUAUAAAUCAAAAAUUAGAAUUCUCGCAGAAUAUACGAACGGCAGCGGUCCUUUUGUUUUUAAUCCUAAGAGCAACAUCAUGGGCGUGUAUCCUGUUAAAAUGCGUCAGCCUAAAAGUCAUAUCUGUCGCGUGCUGGGUGCUAACGUGUCAGAGGAGGGAACGGCAAGCGCUAACGUUCAUCCCUGAGAAAGUCCUGUCUGACGAGUUCCAAAGUCACCUCUGACACUUGAUUAGAGACGCGCCCGUUUUGCGUCAGCAUAGAAGGUUUUCGACGGGUCAGAGAUAACUAGUUCUGUAGUAGUCUUUGAUCGAAAACCUGAUAGGGGGCCCACUUGUCGAUGCCACCAUGGCUCCAUUUUGGACUAGUCGUCCACCUGUCCGAGCCUGACUGAACCCGAGAUGGUUGCAGAAACCACCACAUUUCAAUGACUUGUUGCAGAAAACAACGUUUUUUUUGCUAAUUUUCUCACAGAACCACCGCAAUUUAGUGAAGUUUUUGCACAUACCACUGAUUCUGUCGUUUGGGGUGCACAAGCUCGUUUCUGACCGAUCGAUCCCACAUGUCAGGUUGACCAGCCCAAGACGGUGUGCCGUCCAUUAGUACUUCACAGCCAAUUCCGCCCCCGUCAGUUAAGAAGAAGAAGAAUUGAAGAAGAAGAAGAAGAAGAAGAAGAAGAAGAAGAAGAAGAAGAAGAAGAAGAAGAAGAAGAAGAAGAAGAAGAAGAAGAAGAAGAAGAAGAACGUAGGAAGAGGAAGAGGAUUAAUGGACCUUGGAGUAGCUGAAGUCGCAGACUUUGAGGCAGGGAACGGGGCGACCCGGAUCCACGGUGGAGGUUGGAGGGCUUUGAUGUCGCGGUGGACGAUGUGGUGGGGCGGAGGUAGGUCGGCACUAGGAGGAGGAGAAGCAACGAACGGACAACACUGACGCCGUCUCGGGCUGGUCAACCUGACAGGUGGGUCUGAGCGGUCAGAAAUGAGAUUAUGCACCCUAGACGAAAAAAUCAAUGGUAAGUGGAAAAACUUCACUGAAUUGUGGUGGUUUAGCAAAAACGGUGGUUUCGGCAACAAGUAACUUAAAUGUGAUGGUUCUGCGCAAUUUACUCCGGACAGGGUGGUCGACUUGUCCAGUGGGGAGCCACGGUGGCACCGACGGGUGGGCUCUCCUAUCAGGUUUUCCAUCUAAACGCACUCAACUGCCAAAUCAGUGCGCGGGAGUACCUCUUGCCCCAAAACAGGUGGUAAUUUGAAAAAAAAAAGUGGUUUUCCUAGAUGGUUGCCCCAAAUGUGAUGGUUCUAUGUAAUUUUUCUCUUUUGAGAAGGGGGCUAUACAUGGUCUUUUUUUUUCGGGAAUGCCAUCUUGGCUAGCUUUAUUAAUACUCAAAUAAUAGUGACAUCAUCUAUUAGAAGAGGAACAAGAAAACUUGGAGGAUUGUCCAGCCAAACAUUCGGUGGAUCAAUCCUAGCAACCCUAGCUAGCUCAUGCGCUACCUGAUUAGCCUCUCUUGGACAAUGUUCAAUGACAACCUUCCGGAAUUCCUUGAGAGCAUCAAGGCAAUCAACAUAAAUUGUGGCAGCUGGAGAUGAGGGCCAAGAAUCACCUGUCAUUUCUUGAACCACCUCCAAACUAUCCGAGUGGAUCACAAGAUUUGAGCAGCAUAAACUCGCAGCAAGUUGUAUCCCACGCCAUAAUGCCAUUGCUUCAGCCAUGGUAGCAUCGUAGACAAUUGGAAUCACACCAUUUGUCGCACCAAAGAAAGCACCUGAACCAUCUCGGAUCACCGCACCUGUAGCGCCCACAUCCAGAUCAUCGAAGUAGGACGCAUCAACGUUCAAAUUUUGCAUACCUUCGGUUGGUUUUGCCAACCAUGACGCCGAAUCCAAGUAUGCUGAGAAUUGGCCCGAACAAAAUUCAUAGUCAAUGCUUGAAUUGAUAGCGCCGAUCUUGGAGGAGACUGGAUCGUGAUAGGGAAAAGGUGCCCGAUCUUUCGAUCAGAAGGUAGCUAUCGAUUAUGGUGGAGAUCGAGGUUGAUGAUCCGACUACAAACGUGCGAGACGUUGCGCCUUAGCGAUUGCUACACCAACUUCCGAGGUUAUUGACCACGUCGGAGCUAGAUCAACCUGAUCACGAAGGAUCAAUUCCUGCAAGCAACCGAAGAACUGGCAAGAAUUAUAGAUGCGAUCAAGAUAUUGUGAAUAUAGAUGAAUCUUUAUUGAUGGGAUUCUGCAAGCGCGUAGUACGGAAGGUCGAUUUGACACUUGUGUCUAUGGCAAAGAUUGGCAAUGGCUAAGUAUUAAACUAAACAAAAUCCGAGUCUAAAUGAUGACCUAAUUGGGGUAUAUAUAGAGGGCAUGCGGCCAGUCUUGGGAAAGGAGGACGAAAACCCUCUCUAGGUCGGUUUCCUUAACCUACACGGACUCUAAAAGUUCAGCCCCUUUAUGUGGACGAAUAUUACAUGGGCCUGGCCCAAACUUAAAGGUGAUGCAGCACCAUAUAAUCAUAUGGAUGAAAUCAUGAAGUAGAAAACUCUAUAUUUUGUCCACAUUUUGAUUUCUUAUUAUGGUGGUUUUAAAGUUCUGAAAUCUCCAGUGGUGGCGUCAUCUUCAACCCUCACACGCUUGCUGCCAUCCUCACCAUGCGUGAUCAUGCUCCGGUGCUUGUCCCUCUCAUGCAUGCUAGGUCCAUCAUUCCUAAGUGUAACAAACACAUUUGAUUUAGACAGCAUCAUAUUCUCAUGUAUGUGAGGAAUCGUUCCAAGAAAGAAAAGUACCUGAUAAUUAAGUUGUCAUGCACGAGCUCUUGAGAGGUCCUUCUGUUGUAGUUGUAGGUGCAGCGGUGGUAUCAACAUGUGGGAUGUCCUCAUCAAAUUGUUUCACCCUUCCUUAGUUGUCUGCAUUCCCACCAGAUGUACCAGGAAGCCACAGCAACCAGUUCUCCAAAGGAGAUAGGAGAGAUAUAAAUUUUGUUAGCUUCGUCACCAGCUAGGAGAUCCUCCAGGACCGAAGAACCAGCUCGGUCCAACAACAAACUUUGAUCAAUGAGAUGCGAAACUCCAAGGGCUGUCCAAACUGCAUGAGCUCUCACACAAGUAAAUAGCACAUGACGAAGGUCUUCCACCUCAGAUGGGCAUGUAGCACAUUGGGCGCUCACCGGCACAUGACUAUUUGCAAGAGUUGCCAUGCAAGGGACAGUGUUAUGUAAACUCUUCCAUCCAAAUAUUUUAACCUUUGCUGGAACUUUUAAUUUCCAAAGUUUCUUCCAAACCGGGUGUGUACGAGUUCUUCCAAUGCCGUUGGUCCUUCGUAAUUUCUCUCCAUGUUGAGAAUCCCAUUCAACAUGGUAAGCCGAACGAACCGAGAAUACAUGGUCCACUACACUGAGCAAUUGAGAAAAUGAUGCCAAUGAGAAUUGUAAAUUUUUGAGUGACCAUGAGCCAGUAGGCCCAUCUAUUGAAUUCGCCUCGAGGCCUCUGAAAGUUCUGGACCGGCGCUGAGUUGAUUUUGCCUUAGCAUCAUGCAUAGGAGUAAAUUACAAAAAACCACCACAUUAGGGCUAGGGUUUCACUUCGGUACGAGUCUACGUUUUCUUUUACUAAAAACCACCAGAUUUGCUUAACCGGUUAGUCGCUAGCUUCUAAGCGCGAAAUUGACAAGGAUGGCCCACUGUGAAGCCUACGUGUCUUGUCAGAACGGAUUGCCAGCAUCGGCAUUGACCGUGUUCUCGCCCCCGAAGGCGACCGCGAGCUCCUUGUCUGCCCAUGGGCAUCUCGCCACCGAAGAGGACGACGUCACCUCGCCCUGGCCGCGCACGCACAGACGCUCCCAAACGUCGUCGCGACCACUACGCUCGAAAAAGAAGCCUCGCCAGACCACCAUCGCCGCAGUUCCCCGUCUCUCGCGGACCUCUCCCUUCCCCUCCCACUGCUCGCGGCACGCCGCCCCCGCUGCGGCGCGCCGCCCCUGCUCACCACGUGCCGUCCCCGCUUCGCCGCGCCUGCUCACCACGUGCCGCUCGCUCCUGCUCGCCGCCGCUGCUCAAGCGCUCAUACUCAUUCGGGUUCGAGCGGAACAUCAUGGGCGCCAUGGACCAGGCCGCCGUCGCGGCCACGGCUUCCCCUCUCUGGCGCUACCGGCUGGGCGGAGGAGGCUUCAGGCGCGUCUUCUCGCGCUGCUUGCCCUCGCUGCGCCGCCGCUCGCCCCGUUGCGACACGCCACUGUUUGCCGUGCUGCUCUCCGGUGGCUCACGCCCACGCAAGAUGUUGCUGCGGAGUAUGGCGGCUCCGGGCUGCGGGCGCGGGUGGGAGCAACGGCAGCCCCUCAUGCGGGCCUCCAGAGCGGCGACGGCGUGUGCAUGCAGAGGCGAACGCGGCGGCUCGCAAUGGCCGGCGGAGCAGCGACCGCGGGCACGUGCGGAGGCGACGAUGACGGCUCAUGCAGGCCUCCAAAGCGACGGCGGCGUGUGAGACCGGGCUGGGAGAGACGACUCGGUCAAAGUCAAAUAGCGCAGCAGCUGAUGUGGCGCCAACUAGGACCUAAAAUGCAGGCCCACCUCGUCAGUUUCGGGAUUAGGUGCUAGCGACCGAUUAGUUAAGCAAAUCCGGUAGUUUUUAGUAAAAAGAACGUAGACCGGUACCAAAGUAAAACCCUAUCCCCUAAGGGUCCAUUCGGUUACUCCCAUACCUGUGGGGUUUGGGAGGGAUUGAUCCCAUUUUAGUUCAAGUUCCCUCAAAUCCCUCUCAAUCCUUGCAGGAAAUUUCAUAACCGAACAAGAAGGCUUAGUGUCGUGGUUUUUCGUAAUUUACUCUCAUGCAUGCAUAGUGAUACCAAAGGAGCAAAACGAUCCAUAAAAGUAGAGAACUCGGCCAUGCAUCGACAGAUGAAAUCAAACUUGGGCCACAUGAUCGGUGUCGGCUGCGGCGCCCAUCUGGAGGGGCAGAAGUUGAGCACGUACUCCUGCGCGUGGCAGCGGGCCGUGGUGGCGGCCGCGUCGUAGGCGUAGCUAUAGUAGUCCGGGCAGGCGUCCCUGAAGAGCCGCGAGUAGACGCUCCCCUUGCACGCCUCCGCCGUGCCGUACGCGCCCCGGCAGCAGAAGGAGUCCAGCCCGAACGCCAGGCACGCGCUCCUGCACGCCACCACCGUCGGCGCCUUGGCCUUUCCCGGCACCACCACCUGCAGCUCUGGCGGGCACACCGCGUUCACGUCCUUGGCGCACCCCGCGAUGAAGCACUUGCCGCUCCGGUUCGCCGGCCUGCUCCACACGGCCACGGGGAGGUUGUACCCGUCCACCACGCUCACGUCGUAGGAGCCCGUCCCGGCCUCCUCGUGCAAGCUCACCUCCAGGAGCGUGGCGGGAGGGGCGCCCACGGACCCGUUGCAGGCUAGGCGGCCUUCGCAGUCGCCCGUGAGGCAGCGGCUCCUGCUGGUGGUGGCGCCGUUGAAGUUGCUGCAGCCGGUGCGGCCCCAGAAGCGGCCGCUCCAGGAGGACGGCGCGUCGACGCGCUUCGAUUAGCCUGGCGGGAGGAAGAAGCCGCCACCCGCGAGAACCGGGUGGCCGGAGUUGGGCGCGUUCGCUGGCCACACUGGGAACGGGCAUUUGUUUGUCACGUGGAACGUGACGCCCCUUACCUGCACCACCGUUCCUGCAGAACGUAGAUUUUGUUAUCGGAGUAUCUAAAUUGCCUGAAUUUUAGUCAGAAUUCCUAUAUUAAAUUCACACUCUCUCUUCGUAUUCAUAAUUCAUUGCUGCCGUACUGCACAGCAGGCAGCUGGCACUUGUGUAGUGUCAGUGUAAAUCAUGUAGUUCCUCCGUCCAACAAAUGAUAUGUCAACUUUGAUUAAAUUUGAAUGCAUUUAUACUUGAGACAUCUUUUAUUGGACGGAAGGAAUACAAGCACUGACUCUGAUCUCUCACCUGGGAGAGCCUGCACCAGCAGGAGGAGGAUGCACGGGAGGAGCAGAAGAUUAGCCAUCUCUUUCUCUCGAUCGAUCUCGAUCUUAGACUAGGAGGACUGCCUGGAUUGGAUCAGAGGAGAGGCACCCGGGGGCUUUAUACUACUACAAAAUGCAGCGAAGAGAUGAGGAUUCAAUCCGCGAGGGCCAUGAGGUGCUUGUGUUUGUGUAACUUGCAUUGCAAUGGAAGUAAAGCUGAGGCAUGAUGAGGGCGGCGCUACCUGGUGCACCGUGCACCACACCUGCUGGGCCAAAAAGGUUACUCCGUAGCUUGUUCAAUUAUCUGUUUAUUAUCCGUUGUUGACGCACACGCUACGUAUAGUCCUCGUACCGUGCGUGCCAUGGAACCAGUAGAAAAAAUCUGAGGUUGAGGUUUACCCUUUAUCAUGCUUCAUCAUAUACAAAAAUAAAAGCAGAGAAUUCAUACAAACAUGGUAAGUACAUUCAUGGAAAUUUCUCAGUUGAUGAUCUGAGACACUCAUCUCACACGUCGAUAUUUGUAUAGUCUACCGUUUGGUUUUGUACCACUGUUUUGAAAUUUGAAUGUUCCGCUCAGCAAGAAAACAAGUAUGCCUUGUGUUGGGCUUUCUUGGUUUUAUGUAGAAAUUUCUUUUUAUGUAUGCCUAGGCCUUUUUAUUUUCGUGGGUUGGACUCUAUGCUGGUAUAUUUGUUUUUAUCACCCUUUUCACAGAUGUGCCUUGCAAUUAAAAACUGCUUGCACAUGCGAGGAAGCUAUCUAUGAAACCCUAGCGGUCAAGAAAAGACCUAGCCAUCCUCGUUGAAGUAAAUUUCAAUCUUCGGCGGUUCCCCUCGUCUUUGACUGCCGUUUCGGCGUUGAGAGACGGGGGGAACCACGGAUCAACGCCUGGCAUCAGUUUUGCAGUUUUUUGAUUAAGUUUGUGUGUUCUUCGCGGUGUCAUCUUGACGGUGGGGAUGACGUCGUCUAGAAGAUUUAUGUCCUAGCUCCGUUCUCGUCCCGGCGUAGGCGUCACGUCCUACUCUAUGGGGUCAGUGGUUCUCGCGAUUCUUCUUUUGGUGUUUUUGGUCUUUUUCCUUGUCAAUUCAUCAACGGAGAAGCAGUUUCACAACUUGCCUUGUAAGGGGUGUGUCCCCGGCUAUGGUGCGUUCAACGAUCUUAGGUUUCCAUUGUUUGAGGUGGGCGACUCAAGCGGCUUUUCAAAACAUAUAAGGUUAGUCCAGCUUGUGCAAGCAUGGUGUUUUGCAAUUUCGUUACCGGUUACAUGGAGAAACGUCAAGAUGCGGAAGAUGGAUCUAGAGAUGUUGAUUUCGAAAGACCAUGAUGGAUCUUUUAGUUCUAUAGUGGAUUUUCGUUUCUUAUGUUCGUUUAGCUUGUUUCGAUCUAUUGUACUUUCUUCUAUGAAUCAAUAAAGCCAGAUGGUUGUUCUAAGAAAAAAAAAGACUGCUUGCACAUUUUUGACACAUAAUGACUUAAACAAGGCAUGCCCAUAAAUAGCUAUGCUCCAAUAAUUAUCAUGGUGUACUUGUUGUUCAUGGGAGAUUCAGCUGGACUUAAAUUUGAUUUUUCAAUUGAGAGGAGUGAGGUUAGAACAUUUUCUUUUGUGGAUCUUACUAGAAAUAUAGUUUUAAGCAGUUUUGGUUUGUGUAUAUUUUGAAAAUCAUAUACAUAAUCCUCGUUGCACAUUAUGACAUCUAAAUUGCACAGAAAAACAUUUAUGCAACUUUCUGUCUCAAAAUGUGCAACAAGGUUGUUACACAUUAUCAAGCCUCAACAUGCACAUAAUAAUUUUGUGCAACUUUUGGGUUUAGAAUGUCUAAAUGUGGCUUGUUACACACUAUGAAGUCUCCACUUUCACAUAAAUUUGUUGUGCAAUUCUAAGUUUAAAAAUGUGCAACCUGUACUUUAAGAAGGCAAAAAUCGUAUAUAAUUUUUGUUUACAACUUUUAGAUUUAGAAAUAUGCAAUUGGUAAGUUGCACUUUCCGACACUACCAAUUGUACAUAAAAACAAUUUUGUGCAACCUUUUCUUUCAGAAAUGUGCAAUUGUUUUUUGUAGUUCAAUAUUCGUUUUUUUAAUGGGGGAACUAGUUUUAAGCUUAAACUACUUGCACAUUCUAAAACAGCCAGGUUGCACAUUUUUUGUGUGUGCAAUAUGAGUUGAGCAAAUGUGCAACAAUUUGCUAGAAUAUUUCUCCCAAUUUUGUUCAUAUAUAGAAUUAAUAAAAGUAAUUAAACAUCUUGACCACAUUACAGGCCUCUAGUCGAUUUAGUGUUUUUCUCUCGUACUAUUAUUUAUCCAUGAGUUUCAUAAAAACUUUAAAAUAGUGAGCUUCUUUGGGAAGCGGAAGGGUGGGACACGGCUCCCAGUGCGCAUCGAAUCCGGAACAUCAAUCGCGAGAUGGUCGGCGGCCUUUUUUGCGGAAGGAAACUGCGGGAAAAGGCCUACCUAGAUGUAUUCGGGAGCUCUCGGCCCAUGUUUCGGUACGAAACAGUGCUGUAUACUAGACCAAGCACUUAGAUUAUAAGGACCGAGCUUGACAGCCCAUCUUGUCCCUUGGCUGAGAGAACGUGUUGUUCCAAAAUGGGUGGAAGUGCGGCAAAUGGUCCAACUCGUCGUUGCCUGGCCCAUAUUGUGCCGUUUGGAUUAUGUCCCAAGGAAAACAUCGACAGCCCAUCUUUUGCCUUGGCUGAUAGAACGUGUUGUUCCAAAAUGUGUGGAAGUGCGGGAAUGGUCCAACUCGUCGUUGCCUGGCCCAUAUUGUGCCGUCUGGAUUAUGGCCCAAGAAAAACUUCGACCCUGUGUGGGGUGGGUGGGAGGAUGGCAAUCACAUUUAAUUAUACCUGCGACCACUGCUGCUGCUACGAUGCAUAACCAUCAGCUCUUUUCAGACGACCCAAUUCAACGCUGCAGGCAACGAUUCUUAUUUCUUGUGUAGAUUCAUUCCGUUCCACCAUACCCACAAAUCAUCAACCCCCGCGACCGCCCACACACACCCCACGCCCAUUCAUCGUGUGGCCGAUUUAGGGUUCGUCCGAGCUACCAGCCGGCGGCGAUGAACAAUCUUCCCCCUGUUGCACGAGCAGGGAUAGCCAUGGGAGUUCGGGUGAAUACGAUGUAAGUUCAACCACGCCCCCCCCCCCUCCCCACCCGUUUAUGUCCGAUUGAUGCUGAGUUAUUAACACAUCUCGACCCCCUAUUCUGGAAGCUGCUAAUUUAUUUUACCAUAUGCUGUUAGCGACGGUAUGUCUUCAAAUGUAGGUGAAGAAACCGGGCCGGUUGAGAUAGACAUAAACAAGCCGCCUGUGAAUUCAGAAGACGCUAUGCCAGAUUCAGUCGCGGGAGCUCCUGACUCCAGAACACACCCUCAGGACAUCUGUAAAAUUUUCCCCUCAGACGGAUGGGCUAGGAGGUAUUAUAUUAUGUCCUUUAAACUAAUUCGUGUAUUGUCUCGUGUCCGGAUGCCUCCUAUGCAAUGAUAAUUUAUCGUUUUCGGUAUAGAUAAUGUAAGAAAUUCGGUUCAUACCAGUGUUGUGUCACUACCUCCGUGUGGUUUACAACGUGUGAAUAAUCGUGCAGGGUCCGGAUCGGCAAUGCGCCAGAUGAAAGGAGGCCAAAUUGUAACAUCCCAAAUUUACAAAACCCUUUCAUAUGCAUUUCAUUCAUGAGCAUCAUGCCACAAUUGCAUAUUUGAAUCAAAUUUGAAUUCCAAAAGUUUUUAAAAAGGUUUUAUUUCAUUUUAAACCCUAGGGUUUCAUCCAUUUGAGCUUUGGAUCUUUAAACCAAUAGGGUUUGACUAUAAAAGGGGUUUAUUGCAUAAAUAAGCUAUCCCAUAAUUUUUAGAUAUUUAUUGGAGUUGAAAAACUAUUUUAUUUAAAUAGUUAUAUAGCCCUAAAGGCAUUUAUAGGGCAAAUGUAUUUUUAUAUAUUUUAUUUGAAAGGGAAACUAGUCCCAAAAGUUGAAUCAUAUUAUAAUAUGAUUUUACAAAUUUUCUGGAAUUUAUUUGGAUCAAUUUGGAAUUCAAAAUCAAAAGUUACAAAGGUUAAACAGAAAAAGAAUAAGGAAAAAGGAAAAGAAAAAAAAAGGGAAACGGACCGACCCAACUGGGCCGGCCCCCUUACCUGCCACGCGCUGCAGCCCAGCAGCAGCCCGCAGCGUGCGCGUGCCGCCGCAAGCCACUAACAGGCAAGGCCCGCCUGUCAGGGUCUUCUUCCCCGCAGGGAAAGCGCCCGCGAAUCUUGCCGCGCGCCGUCGCCGCCGCCAUCACUGUGCGCCGUCUCCUCCGUGCUCCCCGCAGCCUGCCGCCCGCGUCAUUAUAAAGCCUGACGCCCUCUCUCUCAUUUCCUCCUUUCCUCUUCGUCGAUUACGCGCCCACGCUGCCAAGAUUUGUCGCCGGAGCAAGCCCGCCGCCGCCGUCAUUUCUUGGUCACCGUCGACGAACGGGUACGGCAUCAUCCUCCCCUCCUCCUCUCUUUCAUCCGCCUCGUCGUCGCGCUUCUCCUGACCGAAGCUCCGCCGCCGCCGCCGCGUCUCCGCCGUCCUGGGCGUCAACCCCAGGCACCCCGAAGCGAGCCACCGCCACCAGCGUCUCCGUCUCGUCACGCCGCUUCUCCUCCACGCUUUCCCGAGCCCCCAGCCUCACCGGAAAAGCCCGCCGCCACGUCCCCACGUCACCGGAGUCCGCCGGAACCCUAGCGCCGCCACGGUGAGCCCAUGCUCUAUCUCGGCCGUUAGAUCUUGAUCAACGGUCCAGAUUAGAUCACUUAAAAUCGAAGGGGUACGGUUAGAUCUAGCCGUCCUUGUGUUUUAAGUUAGAUCCAACGGUCGCGAUUUAAUUUAAAUCCUGAACCGGUAUCCUCCAAUAGGAUCACGCCACGUGUCCCUGUUAAAAAUGAAAACAUAAAACCCGGUCUAAAUUAAAUGGCAUAUUUGCAGAAAAGCCCCUAGAACUUCAAAUGCUCAUAACUUUUAAACCCUUUGGCCAAAUUUGACAAAUUUUACCUUUCUGAAAAGAUCUUGACAUGUAGAAUCUUUUGGCAUAGUUUAAAUUUAAAUUUGAAUAACUUAACCACAGUCAAAUUACAGAAAGGCUUUUAAUGCCAUUUAAAUCAUAUCUUUCUAUUUAGAAAUCCUUUUUAAUUGAAACCAGUGCCCAAAAAAUUUGUUUUAUUGUCCUUUGUCCAUUGGGACAGAGAAAUAAAAAAUUUUGAAUUAAAUUAAUUGGCUGAUGCCAAUAAAACCUUGUUUUAGGGUUUUAAUCCCUUGAUUUUGUAUCUGGAUUUAACCUAGCAUAAUUAUUUUAAUUGCUAAUGCUUUGGACCAAAAAUAUAAUCUGGUUUAUUUCAAAAUAAAAUCAACCCAAUCAUGUCACAUGAUAUGCAUUGCAUGAUGGCAUAUAUUUCUGUUUGCUUGUAUUGUAUGUUUAUGUAUGCAUUGUUUGUUUCGUUUAGUUUUGUCAGACAGCGAACCUUGUGACUGACUGUGAAGAGUGCUUGAAUUCCAACUGCUAUCAAGGCAAGUUCACUUUGACCAUUAUCCCAUUAUUUUAUUAUGCACUAGUAUUUAUUAGUUGCAUUGUUAGGAUUAUUAUUGUACCUAUGCUAGCGAUGAUUCUCCUAGUAGUAUAGGAUACCCUUGCCAUGUCCUUACCACCAAUUGCCAUCGUAGGUAGUUCAAUGCUAUGCUAUGAUAGUAUACGAGGGUGGUAUUAUUACAAUGUGACGUUAUUGAAUUAAAGUAUGGUUUUCCUAGUGUAUGGCAAAACAAGUAAUUUAAUGAACCAUCCUGGGUGGACUGCUUUGAGUAUUCGAGAUGUUAUGCGACGUCAGGUCCAUUUCUAUGGGUCCCUCUGAGUCGAGUCCCGUGGAUUCGGGGAUGGAUCGUCCAUGGACGUCUCCUCAUGGAUUCGGAGAGCGCCUGCGUCGCAAAUGUGGAAUGCCACCCGGGGUAACCAGAGACUGGACUAGUUUCCUGUUUAGUAGCUUCCAAUACAACCACAUGCUAAUAUGGAAUCUGGAUGGAUGGAGUAAGAAAUAUGAACCCAGAUCCGAGGGAUUGUACUGAGGUAGUUGUGUAGGUGAGAGCGCGGGUCCCUCAGAUGGUCUGGGGGAUUAUGUUCUGAAAAUUCUUGAAGUCGAUGUCGUUGCUACUCUACCCUGAGGACAGCAAGGGAUUAACACGUCAAAUUCUUGUGGGAAAUGUGUACAACCUCUCGAGAGUGUCAAACUAAGUACUUAGCCGUGUCCCCGGUUACGGACAUUUUUGAGCAACUAGAUUUGGGGUUGUAAGGAAGGUCUCACUCAUUCCAAUUUCUUAGUAAAAUGAAUGGUUUGAACUGGGUAGGAGCAUUGAUGUGUCUACUUAAUGUGCUCUAGGUUAAUAGGAGCAUGUGUGUGUCUACCCCGUGUCCAAUAGAGAUAAAAUUAUUUGGUUAAAAAUGAUAGUAUGAAACAGUGAUGCUUUUAUGCAAAUAGCCGAACACCACCUAGCCAAAUAUGCAUGUACAUUGUUAGGUCUGUUAUAACUUCCAGGUCAACUUGCCAAUACAUUCAAUGUAUUGACCACGUAGUGGCUGUAAUUAAUAAUGCAGGUGAAUCUGACGAAGAGUGAGGUUUGUCGAUGUUCUUUGGGUCAUGUGGUUACAUUCCAACAUGCUCUCUCCUUUGGGAGUAGCUGUGGCCCAUUUGCUCCACCUUUUUCCGCUGCCGUUUGUGAAACAAUAUUUUGUUAUCUUGAAACUCUAUUUGUUAUGCUGACCCAAGGGGUUAUGCAAGUUUGUAAGUACAAUUAAGUUCUAGAUGAUGCGAUGUAAUAAAGUAUUUUGACCUUUGUAUCUUGGUAUUACAUCUUGAAAUUGUGUGUGCUGGUGAGUCAAUCCAGGGACUAGCACAUUAAGCAUAGAGAUCGAACCCUGUACAAGGGCGGUCGCUUCACAAAUCCACAUAGGGCUUGUGCAGUUGAGGUGGCUGUCCGCUCUUUUGCGGAGGAUAAACGAGGAGAGGUCAUGUAUCCGGCUAUUAGUACACAAUUCGAUUCGCUUGAUGAGGCGUACAACUACUACAACCUGUAUUCUUGGGAAGUUGGAUUUGGUGUAAGAUAUUCAAAGUGUAGGUUGAAUGUGCACAGGAGGAAGUGUAUGCAAGAGAUAGUGUGUGGCUGUGCGGUAUGUUCACUCAUUCCCGUGGUCUUACAUAAAGAUGAAAUAUAUAUGUUAGCAUUUGUGCCGAAUAUCUGACCAAAUCAAUAUCUAAUAUUUGUUAUGAUAACGUGUUUUCAUGCACAGGGUAAGCCCAUAAGAGAAAACAGUAGGUCAACCAGAUGUGGCUGCCUUGCAAUCAUAAGGCUGCUUAGAUCUAGCAACAACGGAUGGUACAUAUGCGAGCACAGGGACGUACAUAACCAUCCAUUAUCAACCACGUGCGGCGAGAAGCUACACUGGCAGUCUCACAGGCACAUUGAUAAGUAUACAAAGGAGUUAGUGUGGCAUCUAAGAGAGAAUAACGUGAUCCUAGGCAAGGUUUACAGUAUAUUGGGAGUUUCUUCGGGACAAUGGAGAACGUGCCUUUCACGAAGAGGUCCUUGAAAACAUUGUGUGGCAAGAUAAGCAAAGAACAAUCCGACUAGGAUGCAGUAAAAACAAUGCAGGCUUUCAGCGCAAUACAGGACUCCGAUCGUGAUUUCAAGUAUGUUGUUCAGAUAGCUUCAAAUGUUGACAGCGCAAUCCGACUAUGUUGUUCAGCAUCAUUCUAGGGGGUGUCCUGAUGAGGGAUGAAAAGGUUGACAGCUUCAAAUGGGUGUUCUCUGAAUUCAUAAAGAUGAUUGGGGGGAAUGAUAGCCACCCAAGAACUAUACUCACAGGUAUAUUUUUUAUCAAUUUAUACGUUUGUGUCGCGUUCGUGUAGUCAUUUAAAGAUUAUUAAAAUAUUUUCUGCGCAACUGUAAUUGUAACAUACUGCUGAUAGUUAAUAGUAGUGUCGUUCAAUGUUUCAGAUCAAGCCAGGGCCAUGGAGGUCGCAAUAAGCGAGGUGUUGCCAAACACUACCCACCGAUGGUGCAAAUGGCACGUGCUCAAGAAAGCUAAGGAAUGUCUUGGUGCCCUGUAUGGAAAGAAUUCUGCCUUCCGUUCCGAGUUCCACCUUUUGAUGUCCGAGCUAUGUACGGAGGAAGAAUUCGAGAAUGGAUGGGCUAGCAUGUUAGAGAAAUAUGGCUUGCAAAAACAGCCAUUCCUGACACAGAUAUACGAGGUAAGGCAUAAAUGGGCAAAGCCAUAUUUCAGAGAUGUAUUUUGUGCUGGCAUGACGAGCACCCAACGUAGUGAGAGUGCAAACCAUGUCCUAAAGGGGCCGGAUGCCCUAUGCACCUGUUUGUGAAACAAUACCAAAAACUACAGUUCGACCGGGAUCAGGAGGAGAGCUAUCAAGAGAAGCGAACUCGAAUUGUGAGUACCCACCAAUAAAUAUAAACAUAAAAAGGUUUUUCUUAUUUUGGUAUGUCACGUGUGCUGACGUGAUCUGAAUCUCUUGUUCCAUGCAGUUUGGCGUAGUACUCCGAGCAAACUUACCUAUCGAGGUGCAUGCCAGCAAAGUGUACACGAGGAAGAUGUUUGAGCAGUUUGGAAAAAAAUUAUACGAGUCGGGCCAAUAUAACGUCGAGGAGCUGGAGCAUCACAGACUGUAUCUGGCCAGGCAUGACAACGCCGCUGUAAAAGAAAGAUGGUGCAAGGUUACGUUUGCGGUUUCGGUUGACAUUGAGAGUGACAGAGCAGAGUGUGAAUGUGGUUAUUUUGCACAUUCCGGAAUGCUAUGUGCCCACUCGUUGAAGGUAAUACGUAGUAUUCAUGUAUACCCAACGAUAAAACACUGACGGCAAUUAGAAGGCUGAUGCAUCUGAAAAUUCACAGGUGCUAAUUCAUCUGGGAUACAAGGCUAUACCGUCAAGGUACAUCUUGAAGAGGUGGACAAGGGAAGCGCGAGAUAUACUGCCACAACAUCUCAUCAGGUACCAAAAAGAUCAGGGCUUGCCUUCAUGUACACUCAAGCCUCCAGCUCAUUUGUUUCGAGAUACAAAAAAUGGGCGAUGCAAAUGUAGAAUGCUACGUUGAGGCCAUGCAAGUCCUACUCAAGUUGAAGAACAUGUUGGAGCCGAUGAGUGCGGUUAAGGACGGAUUGGGAGUGUCAGAACGGGAUAGUUCGGAAGGCUCGUUCCGUAACGGUCGCGCUGCAGCUGUUGAAGAGACACCCGUCCAAACCCCAGCUGGAUGCAUCUGUGGUGGAGCGGUUCGUCGAGGUGUGUGAGCCAAGCAAGAAGUCAUCGGUCAGGAGACCCACAUCAAAAAGAGACAGGCCACCAUACGAAAAUUGUUCAAAGAGGACGAGGUUUUGCUCGAUAUGCAGGAAGCCUGGUCACAAAAAUGUGACCUGCCCGGAGCGUGGAGACAAUCCAAAGAAACCAAGGAAGGAGCCGACGUGUUCAAACUGCGGCGUUCUUGGCCACCGGAAGUCUAACCGUGGAAACCCGAAGAUACUAAUGAUGUGAAUGCUGUUAUCAACCACAUCUGGAGACACAUAACUUGAUUUAAAUUGCGCAUCUGAUUUAUUUGGUGAUGUGGGUUAGUUUUGACACGUGGACUUAUUGAAUGAUUUAUUCGUGUGUGGACAAUAAAAUUUACCCGUUUAAUCCUGAAAUUACCGAAAUUUGUUUUGCACUUUUGUUUAUAUUCAGCAAAAAAUAUUGUUAUGCUAGUGCUAGUAAAUUUCUCCUUCGACAGGUAAACAUGCAAAGUGAAAUUUUGUUAAACAUAGAUUACGCUUCUCUGACACUGUCAAUCGGUGGACGAGUACCGUAGUACCAUGGUUUCGGAUGCUCCGUGCGUUCUACGCGGGCUGGGUGCUUAAGAUUGACGCCCAAUCAAAAAAAAAGGGUAUACUUUGACGGCCCAACGUGAGCUGUUCCCCGUUAAACUACACCAUAGAACUAUGGGCCCAAAGGGGGUCCGAUGUGCUUAUGAUCCUCUGGGCUUGCCCACACCGAGCUUACAUAUCCACUGGGCCUACUAGUAUCCCCUGCAUCGCCGGUGUUCACUGUAUUGAAACAUCACGAUGAAACCGGUAUUCUGUGUACCAGUACGAAUGCUCGUGCGUCCGUCGAUAUUCACAGGGUUCAGGAGGAAGCUGUGGAUUAAACGCAUCCCCCGGUAUCAACACAAAACAUUUAUUUUAGAAUCCGGUUUGUUUGUUUGCAUUAAGGUCAAAAAUCUUGCAUGAAAACUUUAUAACUUAUUUAGUAUAUAAUAAAUGCUAACAUGCAACAUGCUUACGGUUUGAUCGGGUUUUUUUUUAAGUUUUUACCUUGUCGUUCGCGGAGGUGUGCGCGCGUCUCGUGUCCAACAUUAAUUUGGUGGCUGCCAGACUUACGCAAUGCGGUCCAUUAGUACAUUGUUGAAGCGCUUAUUACCAUUGCCACCUGUUAAUGCCAGCACACGGCAUGGUUUCGUCGUGAUUAAUGUUGGAUACGUGUGGUUCUCCAUCUGCCACUACUGUGUUGUCAGGCUAAGAAGCUAAGAGUUAGAAUUAUAUAUUUCAAGUACGGCGUCUAUCCUGUGCAUGCCUUUAUGAAUGUCCUCUCGCCAUUGCCCCAUGUACUGCUGCCCCUGUAGCACGUCUGAUGCGUCUUGUCUAACUCGAGUGUGCUAUCGGGUAGUAGCUCCUAUACAGGGAUCGUAGGUGAGACAGUGAUGUUCCGUGCAGCGAUGCAGUGUCCGCCAGAGAGCACGCGUGGUAGGAUCUUGGUGUAAAUCUCCGACGCAUCUGCUAGAUCGCUGACUUGCUUCUCACGCGAUUUGGUGCCGCAACCAAUCACGCUUAUGAACGAAAAAUAAAAAUUGUUUCUCUACAUGUUAGUACACAUAUAUGUGUAUACCGUGCAUCUGCCGUUCUGUGUGACAUGCUUAUGUACUGCAUCUGGGUUGAAUAGAUGCUUAAUAUACAUGGUACUAGGUGCAACGAAAACGCUGCCUUGUUAAGCAAAAAAGUUAAAACCGAUUGGAUUGGAUACCUAUUGAGCCUAUUGAGUGUUCUCUCAACACAUGGCUUGUGAAAUGAUCUUGGUUUGUCCUUGGCGGAUAGCUAGUUUCAUAGCAUGAGCUGCUCCAUCCCCGUUGCAUGCUUGCCGCCCAUGCCUCCUCGAUGGGGUUGGAAGGUACGCUCGGUAUUCAAUUUCCCUGCGCCCCAAAAAAUAGUACGACUAGACUGGCAGCUUUGCAUUGUGUCUUUCGUGCGUGUGCAUUAGCACCCUCUGUACCCCCGUAAUAUCUCAAAUUUUCAAACUUUUACAUAUGCAUUGCAUCCAUGAGCAUCAUGCCACAAUUGCAUAUUUAAAUUCAAAUUUUGAAUCUCAAAAGGUUUUUAAAAAAACUCUAUUUUAAUUUAAACCAUACGGUUUGCACCAUUUUGAACUUUGGAUCUUCAAACCAAUAGGGUUUAAUUAUAAAAGGGGUUUAUUGCAUAUAAAAGCUAUCUCAUAAUUUUUUGGAUAAUUAUUUGGAGUUGAAAAAGUAUUUUAUUCAAAUAGUUAUAUAGCCCUAAAGACAUUUAUAGGGCGAAUGUAUUUUUAUAUAUUUUAUUUUGAGGGGAAAUCACUCCCGAAAGUUGUAUCAUGAUAGAACAUGAUUUUACAAAUUUUCUGAAAUUUAUUUGGGCCAAUUUGGAGUUCAAAAUCAAAAGAUAUCAAAGAAAUAAGAAAAAGAGAAAAAGAAAAGGCUUAAAGAAAAAAAAAGGGAGAAAGAGAACCGAACCGACCCAACUAGGCCGGCCCCGUCUCGCGCGCGCCC